Molecule: long non-coding RNA, 52753 nt
Filed under: Gossypium barbadense (sea-island cotton)
Lineage: Eukaryota; Viridiplantae; Streptophyta; Magnoliopsida; Malvales; Malvaceae
Description: long non-coding RNA (GBAR_LNC022679)
Rfam family: MIR7502 microRNA precursor family (bases 41236-41356)
Source: RNAcentral
UCUUAUUUCGAGGUGAUUGGGUCGAUGUUAAUACUGCUCGUGGAAUUAAGCAAGAUCAAUUUGGUUUCACAAUGGUGAACUUCGAUCGAUUAAUUCACACAUGACAACAGUUGAUUGAUGAGCCGUAUGUAUUUUCUUCUCAAGUCAAACAAGUUUUUUACUCAAAAGAUCCAACUGAUGAGGGUUGGUACGUUGUACUCCGUAACAUCCCUAGAGACUUAUUUGACAUGGGCAGUGGAAGUAGAGAUGGCAUUGACGACAGAACACAAAACUUUGCCCUUUCCAGAACAAAACUUAGACGAAAACAUCCCUAGUAUUAGUACACAAUUUCAAUGGGUCCGCCAGGAUACGGAUGAAGAUAAUUACGAAUUAUAAUGUAGUAAGCUUUUACAAUUAUUUAAUUAUAUGUAAUAUCACAAUAUAAAUAUUAAUCUUAUUGUAUAUUUCAACUAAGUUUUCAAAGAUUUCAUUUGUAUUGCAGAUAAAAUGCGGCGACGAAAAGUACGACAGCUAAGCCUGGUUCCAGGUACUCCAAACUCUGCGGAAACAAAUAGCACUGAUCAACAGACUGCUAUUGGGUCUAAGAAUAUUUUUAUUACACCUAAGAAACCUACAGAAAUUCAAAGUACUUUAACAUUUAAUUUAAAUGCUUGUUGACUUCUUGUUUGUUUAUUUUUAAAAUUCUUAUAACAAUAUAAAAUUUUUCAGUUGAAAAUGGUGGGACGCGGAGAGUUCGAGGGCGUACGCUACUGAGGGAUUUAUACGAGCUAGAUCCAGCCGAGCGUGUCAAAGUAUGCAGUAAUAGCUUUGGUCAGCCUGUUGGAUCAGAAGCUCGUCUUUUAGCAGGAUACUUGGGCAUUCUAGCACGGAAUGCAAAUAUGUUGCCAAUUAACUUCGAGACAUGGCGACAAAUGCCCGAUAGUAACAAUAACCAAGCUCUUGAUAACGUUAAGGUAACAAAAUGUUAAUGUCAUUUAUAAUGCUUGGGUUUAAGUUUCAAUUAUAUUAACUUUCUUAGCUUCUGUUCUUUGUAGGCGAGAUUUGCUCUAGAGGUCUCCGAUGCUUAUGUAAAAAAGGCAUUGGGAAAAAGAUGGAGAGACCAUAAGAGCACAUUAAAGAAAUACUAUUUUAAGACAAAAACAACCCUGGACGAGAGAUUACAAAAUGUCCCGCCAGGAAUGCUGAGGUAUCAAUGGGAAGAGGUCGUUAGAUUUUGGACUUCGAAGAAAGGAGAGUUAUGUGUUACUAAAACAAUCUUGUAAUUAUUUUGGUUUAUAUUAUUUAUUAAUCAACGUACUAAUAAUUUCAUAACGUAGGAUCGUGAACAAGUUGGAAAAUGUAGUAGGCAGAAACAGAAAUUCACUCACACAGCUGGGUCCAAAAGUUUUGCUUGUGUAGCUCACUCUGAGGUAUUUUGAACUUUGUAAUUCUGUCAGAUUUUUAUUACUUUCUAUCAAAUAAUAUUUUUACUACUGUAUUAUAGGAACUGUCGUCCGGUCAGAAAGUUGGACGCCUUCAACUUUUUGACAUUACACAUAGGAAGAAAGAUGGGAACCCUAUGACUCCUGAAGCUGCAGAAAUUCUGGUACGUUUGCUUAAUACAAUUUGACUUGUUUUAAUAUUUUACAGUGUAUAUUUUCUAAUGGUUUAUUUCAUUUCUUGUAAUGCAAAUUUUGUUAAGUUAUGUUGCAUUUUUUUAAUAUAUAUUGCGUUCCUAACUAUGUGAUUUAUUGUUGUAGGAUAAACUAAAGGAUAAAAAAGCGGAGUACGAAGCGAUUGCUUCUAGUGAUAGUUCUGUUCAUAUUGAAGACAUUGAUAAUCGUAUUAUCACUGAUGUUUUGGGUCCUGAAAGGUACGGUCGGGUUCGAUUUCAAGGAUCUUUUGUUAGCCCAACCCAAUAUUUUGGAUCUAGCUCGCAACAAUACAUGCCUUCGGGGAGUCAGGCUCAAGCUGAAGUCUAGAGGUUAAGAGACUAGAUGGCUCAGAUGCAAGCCACAACAGUUGACCAAAUUACACAACUUAAAGCGGAGGUAGCAGCGAGAGAAGCUGAGGUUCAACGGAAGUAUGAAGAACUCCAGAUACAGCUAAAAGCAGAAGCGGCAGAGAGGGAAGCAGAGCAGACUAGAAAGUACGAUGAACUCCAGUAGCAGCUUCAGAAUAUGAUGAAGAUGUUUCAACAGUCGCAACCACCGUCGUCUUAGACUAUCGUGUAAAUUUUUUUUAUCAUUUUAACUUUAUAUUAUCAUUUUACCUUUUAACAUAUUUGUAAGAAUAAUAUGAAUUUUAUUUCAUUUAUUGAUAUUUAUUAUAUAUUAUUCAUUUAAUUUUAAAUAUUAUAUAGAUUUAUUGUUUUGGAUUGGUUUAGAUUUUAGUUUCUUCUGAUUUGUUGUUACAGGAGGUCUAAAAAUAUAGAAAAUAUUCUUUUAUAAAGCUGCUCAAUUUAGCGGCAUUUGUGGGAGAAGUGCCGCUAAAGGUUAAUGCAUUUAGUGGCGUUUUUAUGAAAAGCGUCGCUAAAAGUCAAGGUCUUUUCGCGGCGUUUAUGAGAAAAGCGCCGCUAAAACCCAAUGCCUUUUAGCGGCGUUUGUGAUCAAAGCGCCGCUAAAGGUCAAGGUAUUUUGCGGCGUUUGUAGUGGAAGCGCUGCUAAAGAUAAUAACCUUUAGCGGCGCUUAAGUCACAAACGCCGCUAAAGAGCUUAACUUUUAGCGGCGCUUAAGUCACAAACGCCGCUAAAGUUAACGACGCGGUCAAUAGCGGCAUUAUUUGCGGCGAUUUAUAAAGCGCCGCUAAAAGUGUUUGCGACGCUAAAAAGUGCCGCUAAAGGCCUAAAAAGCGCCGCUAAAUCCCUGUUUUGGUGUAGUGAUUCCAUUACAACGAACCAAACGUAGUGUAAAUACUAACAAGUGUUGGGUGUAGUGGUAAGGCACAUUGCAUUUUCAAAGGAGAAUCCAAGUUUAAAUCUUGAUAAUAUUAUUAGGAGAUACAACCACAAACCCUGAACAUUGACAUAUUUAGCGACUGUAUUAUUUAUAAAUAAUAAUCAAUUUCAAACACUUUUUUUAAUUAAAUAAUAACUCAAGUCGAGCAAUACUCAAAACUGUAAAUUAAAAUAUCGUGUUCAAGACUCAAACUAAACUUGCAUAAGGUUACAUUUUGAUAGUCUCAUUAAUAUAUACACAUAAACAUAAAUUAGAAGUGUUCAUGAGUCAGUUUCAUAUCUUCUUUUAUCUUACAAUGUUAGGGGAGGGAGAAAGAAAUAUAUAUAUAGCUAACUAUAGCGUGUCUAGGCCAUCCAUAUUAUUUGUAUUUUUUUAAAAAUAUAUUAUUUUUAUUUAUUAUUGAGUAAUAGUAUGUAUAACACUUCUUUUAAAGAAAGAAUUGUAUGAAACUGUGAUUCCACGUCAUCUUUAUCCCUUUCUAAUAGUAAAAUGACAAAUUAGAUUUUUAUUCCUGAUUUUUAGCAUUUUUAGUUAGAUUUGAAUUUUUUCAAGAGGAAAAAGUUGAUUUGUCAUUCUCUUAUUAGAAAGAGAUAAGAAUGACGUGGAAUCACAGUUUCAUAAAAUCAUUUCUCCUUCUUUUAUUACCGUUAUAUAUAUUGUUUAAAAAUAAAAAAAUUAAUAUUUUUAAUAUUUAUAUUGUAGUGUAGUAUAUUGAAUUUUUGUAUGAUAUAAAUUACAUAAUAUAUAAAAGAAAAAAAACAAUAUAUUAUAAAAUUGAAAAUUAAGGAAUCAAUCUGAAUAUAAAAACCCAAAAUCAAUUCAUAUUUUAAAAGAAUAAUUUUCUUUUUCUGUGAAACAAAUUGGAUUAUUGUUUCCCCACAAAAGAUUACAAGUUAGAGUAUGAAAAUUUUGUCGGCGAUUUUGAAAUUGACAUUGCUGAAGAAUAUAAUCUAGAGUUUGGCAGCAUGAAAUCCCAUUUCAAUGCACUUGGGACUACCAUCCCUAUCUUCUCAUUUCUCCAUUUCUUUUCUAUUAUCCACCACGCAAAACUAUGUAGGGAAACAUUAAAUGGGGACAAUAAUUCUUUUUCUUUUAGUUUAUAUAUUUUAAUUUAAUCAAUUUUAGUUUUUAUAUUUUUCGAAUUCUUUAAUUUUUUUUUAAAUUGUAAUCUUCACCCAAAUAAUAUCAAUUAAAUCUGCUUGGUCAAAUUCUACUGUUGUUUGAUUCAUGUUUUUCAAUUUGAUCAUUUUUAGUCUUUAUACUUUUGAAUUUUGAAAUUUCAGUCUUAACUCAAACUAUAGUUGUUAAAUUCAUUAACUAAAACAACAUGAUAAUACGUUUGUUGCGGAGACUUUUGAAAUAGUUAAGAUUAAAAUUUCAAAAUUAAUUUUAAAACUAUAAUAUUUUUUGACAAUAAAAAAGUUACCUAAAUUCAAAGAUUUAUUGGAUAUAUCUGAAAAUUAGAACAGGAUGUUGGCAAUGUUUUAUUAUCAUAUAACAAAAAAUGACAGAAUUCCAUCUUAUUUGGAAUCACAAAAUCCCUUGAUUAAUUCCAUCCAUGAAUAGGUUUAGCAUUUAAAUUUGGUUAGUUUUAUGACAAAGUUGUUCAACAGAAAGUGUAUUAAUUUAGUAAACUUUAAUGAAAAUCAAUCAACAAACUGGGUGAUUCAGAACUGUAAAUAUUUUCUGUUGAAACAAACAUGUCAUUUAAUGUUAAUUAAGGACCUUGACUCCUCAACUAAAUUGUUCCAACCUUUGCAAUGAUUUUAUUGUUCAUUAAUCUCCACAAUGAUGUGAAACCUUAACCAUCUCAUUUCAAAGCCACUCAUAUCAUCAUUUAUCAUCUUUACUUUUGCAUACCUAAAUUAAAUUACCAUCAUUGCCAUGACUGUGCUUCUGCUCCAAGAUUAAGCUGUUGUUGUAGGAGUAAAUUUGGGAGUUUUGCUUAUUUUCUGUUUUUUUGUCCCAUUGCUCACGAAAUAUGUUGUCGGCUAUGAUUAUAUAUACAAUCAUAACAUUGUUUUUUCUAAGUUACGGGUAAAAAAGUUACAACUAAAAUUUAUAAUACAACCAUGAAUUUUUUAUAUAAAACUUAGUAAAUCAGGAUUAAUUCUAUCAAAUCAUCAAGAAUAAAAUUUAGAUGCAAAAUCAUAUUUAAACUUAUUGUGAUUUUGAUCUUCUAAAUUACCAUACAAAUAUCUUACACAAAGUGGCGUUCUUUUUCCUGAAUAUAUAUGGGAUGCCAUCCCUAAUACAUAAUUUCUACACUUUAACCUUAAAAUCUAAUCAAAUCAUCAUCAAUUAGAAAUUAGUUACUAGAGCAUUUACAUAUAUUGGGCCUAUGCUUUAUUAAAUAAUUUAAAACCUUAAUCAAAUUAUAUCACUUUUAAUUUGAGCUAAGUUUUUUAGCAUAACAAAUAAUAGCAUGUAAUUAUUCUUCUUAUAUAUGUGAAAAUUGACAAAUUAGCCCUUAUACAUUAGAUGAGUGAGCAAAAACAACUCAUCCAUUAAAAUUUGGUGUUUAUAUGUAAGGUAUAAUAACAAAUUUAACCAUCAACCUUUACACAUUUAUUCAAUUUGACCCCUACUCAUUUGUUGAAAGUAAAUUAAUUAGAAAAUUUUAAAAUUAGUAACUUUUUUUUAAAAAAAAUCAAUUAAAAUAUUUAAAAAUUUAAAAAUUAUUUUAAAAAAUAAAUAAUAUUAUAGAAAGAAUAUAACUAUUUUAAAAUUUAAAGAUCAAGAUAUGAUAUGAAUGAACAUACUUAAAAUUUCAAACAAAUGUUCACCUUAUUUUUCCAAUGUAUCAGUAUUAUUUAUGUCAUUUAUACAUUUAUUCAAUUUAACCUCUACUCCUUUAUUAAAAGUAAAUUAGAAAUUUUCAAUUUUUAAAUCAGCGUUAUUUGUGUCCUUUUUCUAUAUAUUUUUGCUGAAAUGGAUGUAUGUUUUGCAUUCUUCAUUGCAACAUAUAUUACAUUUUAAUCCAUCCAAGUUAAUAAGAAUGUUUUAGCAAGAAAAAAUAUGAUGCAUUAUAAGAAAAAGAAUUUAGACUUUGAAACUUGAUCGGUGGAAAGAGUGUAUAAAAAUUUAGUUCAAAAAUAAAUAUUUAAUUAGUUUUAAAAUAAUGUUAACUAUUCCCUCGAUAAUUGUAUGUACACGAUAUCGUUAUCAAGUAAUAAUUACAAAUAACUUCAAUUAAAGUACUUAACUCGCUAAUUUACUAAGCUACUGAUAUAAAUGAGAAAACAAAAUAAAUAAAGUAAAUAUCAAUAAUGAUUAAGAAGAGUGAAAAUGCAAUAGUCAUGUAAUUACGAUUCAAUCUCAAUUCAGUAUUGUAGUUAAAGAUUUUCUUUAAUUAAUGAUAAUUAAUAACCUAUUUUAGAUUCAACCAAAUCUAAGUCUGAUAACCUAGAUGAGCCUCCAAAUUUAAGCCAACACCUUUCGCAACGCCUCUAACUAACUUAAUAGUUUACCAACCUGGUCCUCAGUUGGCCGUUUUACUCGAAACUGAUCUUGGGUAAUUUCUAACUUAUCGCUAUAGUGGAGUAGGCAACUUACUUUCCUUUUAGAAUUUCCUAUCACCUAGAAUUAACACAUAUACUGAUGCGGAAACCCGGAUCUAGACACAAGAGAACACAAAUUAGAAAUAAAACGAGAAUAAAUAAAAUUAGUUAAAUAAUAAAUAAAUAAAUAAAUAAGGAUAGAUUUGUCCUAUGGAACCCUUGGUUAACUUGUAACCAAAAACGCCAAUGAUUGAGCGGCUCCCUACGAAACCCCUAGAAGAAGAACCUCUAGAAACACCGAUGAACGGGAAAGAAAUUUGAAUAUUUGCAACUUCGAAAUACCCUCGAAAGUAACAAACUCCAAACUAAAUAGCAAGAGAAGAAUCACUCUACUCUAAAAAAAAUUUGCCUCACACAAAUUUGAAAAAAAAUAAAUACUCUUCUUUUUAUUCCUCUUUCAAUGUGUAGAAAACAAGCUUAUCUAUAGGCAAAUUACAAGAGUAAUUGAAUCCUAAUAAAAACUCUUUAAAGAGUAAUUGAAUCCUAAUAAAACUCUUUAAAAUUAUCUAAGAAAAUAAAUAAAUAAUAACCUAACCAAUAAAAUUACUUAACUCAUAAAUGAUGUGUCCCAACCAAUGAGAAUUAAGUAAAUAAUAAUAAUAAGAUACAUAAAAAAUUAAUCCACCAAUUUAUGGGCUUUUACUAUUCCAAGAUUGGUCCAGUGAAUUGCAUUCCCAUAUUUAUCAAUGUCACGAACAUGAUGAAUUAAAUUUGUCGCAACAAAGUCUUGGACAAAAGCAUUCAUCUUUGAUUUUAAUUGUCGUGCCUUGCUUCGAGUGAUUGGACCACUAGGAAAGAUAACCCUUUGAGUGUCACCUCCUUGGCUCGUAUCAUUCUCCCCCUCUUCAAGAAGAUUCGUCCUCGAAUCUGAACUUGGAAUGGUCCAUCUCCUCGUGCUUCAAGUUUAUUCUUUCUCUUAGAAGGAAAUACAUCCUCAAAAUCCUGCAAAAGAUUAACAAAACAACUAGGCAAAUAUGUAUUAGGGUUAGUCAAAACGAAGUUUUCCCUAAACCUAAUAAUUACAAAUGUUUGUUUUGUACAAGGAGCAAAUUUGAUAUCUCGAAACCUAGCGAAUAAACUCACUUUCUCAUCUCGUGACUUGUGUGUGCAAUCACUCACCAAUGUUGGGCCUUUAAGUUGGCUUUUAACACUAAGGGCCUCUUUACUCUUAGCCUUUUUCAAUGAUUUUACCUCACUUCCCUUACCCAUCUCACUAGCAAGUUUGAGUUGAUCAUUGUAGACUUCUUGAGGAGGAAGUGGAGCCAAAGUAAACUUCUUUCCAAGGAAUACAAAAGUAUAUUGGUUAAGGAAACCAUCAUGAUUUACUCGUCGAUCAAACUGCCAUGGCCGUCCAAGUAAUAUGUGCCCAGCUUGCAUUGGAACAAUAUCACACAAAACUUUAUCAGAGUAUCUACCAAUGGAAAAUGAAACUAAGCAUUGUUUAGAUACUUUUACCUCCCCACUAUCAUUCAGCCAUUGCAAGCGGUAUGGCCUUGGAUGCUUCACACAAGGUAGGCCAAGUUUCUCAACAAGCGAAGAACUCACCACAUUGGUGCAACUUCCACUAUCGAUGAUCAAUGAACUAGGUUGUCCACCAAUCAAACAUCUCGUGUGGAAAAUGUUAUCUCUUUGUUCACGCCCUUCCUCUUUAAACUGGACAUUUAAAGCCCUUCGAGCAACAAGUGCUUUCUCACCAUACUCUAAGUAUUCUUCAUACUCAUCAUGAGCAUGCACAUCAUCAGCAUCUUCCAAAGGAGGCAUCUCAUCUUCAUUAUCAGACUCAAAAUCAACCUCGCCAUCUUCUCGAAUCACCAAUGACUUUUUAUUAGGGCAUUCUCGAGCAUAGUGACCCCUUCCUUGGCAUUUGAAGCAGGUAAUAUCUUUUGGCUGCUUAAUGGCACUAGGAGAAGUAGAAGAAGAAGAUGGAGCUUGAUUAGUAAAAGUAGAACCUUUAAAUGAACUAGGCAUACCUCUAUCUUUGGAGUAAGUUCUAGGCUCAUUUGGCUUGAACCGUGCAUCUCUCCCAUUCCACAAUCUAUCAUCUUGUUUUUGCCAAUUUUCUCUCCAAGCAGGAUUAGAAACUGAACUAGCACCUCUUGGUGUCCCUUUCUUUCGUAAUUGCUUUUCAAUGGUGAGUGCAAUUUGAAGCAUCUCUUCAACAUCCAUGUAGUGUUGUAACUCAACUCGAUUUGCAAUCUCAGGCUUUAGGCCGGCAAGGAAUCUAGCCAUAGUUACCUCAGCCUCUUCAACAAGAUUGGCUCUAAUCUGAAUAGUCUCCAUCUCUUUGUAGUAAUCAUCCACAGAUCUAUCUCCUUGAACAAGAUGUUGGAGUCUUUGAUGGAGUUCUCGAUAAUAUUAUGGUGGAACAAACUGUUUUCGUAAGAUGCGCUUCAUUUCAACCCAAGUAGUAACAGGUUGCUCUCUAUAAAGAAUCCUGCUUUUACAUAAUUGAUUCCACCAUGUUAGUGCAUAAUUAAUGAACUCAGCGACAGCGUAUGUUACCUUUUUCUCAUCAGAGUAAUUGUAACAAGCAAAGAUUGCUUCCAUCUUUUCCUCCCAAUCAAGGUAAGCAUCAGGAUCAUUCUUCCCUGAGAAAGAAGGAAAUUUUGGUUUGGGGGUGUCAUUGUUUCGUUCCACCCUUUCUCUAGGUACAUACUCGGACUCAAAGUCAUCAUCAAAAACAUGGUUCUCCCUUCGUUUAAAAGUUCGAUCGCGCGAAUUUGAUCGGCUUAUAAAGGCUUCGUUCAACUUCUUGUAAUUAUCGGCAAUGUAUCUCUCUUGAGUUGUAAGUUUUGUAUCAAGAUAUUCCCUUUGCUCUUGUAUCAUCUGGGUCAUGCGAUGUUCGACUUGAGUUUGCAACUUUUUCAUCUCUUUUUGUAACAACUCGACCAAAGGAUCGUUAUCUCUUUUUUGCUCAUCCUCUUCAUUUUUACUAGUUUGGGAUCUAGUGAUCGGCAUGGUAUCUGUGAAAAAAUCACACAAACAGGAACAAGAAAUUAAUAAUAAUAACCUCACUCGUUAGCUCUUAAAAGAACAACUCUCUGAAUGAUUCAAAACUUGUAAAUAUGUUUGGAGAGGGUUACUAAUCAAGAUCAAAUAAUGGAGGUGCAAACUUCAAAGAAACAAUGAAGAUCCUAAUUGCUUUAAGAGGCCAAUAAACUUGACGAUGCAAUUUGUAAUGGAGGCUACACGGAUGAAGGAAUUGUGCGUGCCUUUAAUAUGUAUGAAAGGUAGGCAACUUUUAUUUUGCGUUUUUUUUUUGCUUUUUUUUGCGCUUUUUACUCUCUCUUUUUUGCGCUUUUUUUUGCUUUUUUUUGGCGCUUUUUACUCUCUAUUUUGCGCUUUUUUGCUUUUUUGUUUUUUUUUUGCUGUUUUUGCUGUUUUUUUUGCUUUUAUUUAAAGAAUAAGAAGAGAAUAAACACAAACUUAUUUUUAAAAAAAAUUGACGAAACCGAUGAAAAGUGUUUUUGGUAUUUUGACUCGUUUCGGAUUUGAUUUUAGCUUCAAAAAUAACACCGAAUGGCCUGAAACUGAUACCAAUUGAUGCGGAAACCCGGAUCUAGACACAAGAGAACACAAAUUAGAAAUAAAACGAGAAUAAAUAAAAUUAGUUAAAUAAUAAAUAAAUAAAUAAAUAAAUAAAUAAUGAUAGAUUUGCCCUAUGGAACCCUUGGUUAACUUGUAACCAAAAACGCCAAUGAUUUAGCGGCUCCCUACGGAACUCCUAGAAGAAGAACCUCUAGAAACACCGAUGAACGGGAAAGAAAUUUGAAUAUUUGCAACUUCGAAAUACCCUCGAAAGUAACAACUCCAAACUAAAUAGCAAGAGAAGAAUCACUCUACUCUAAAAAAAAUUUGCCUCACACAAAUUUGAAAAAAAACAAAUACUCUUCUUUUUAUUCCUCUUUCAAUGUGUAGAAAACAAGCCUAUUUAUAGGCAAAUUACAAGAGUAAUUGAAUCCUAAUAAAAACUCUUUAAAGAGUAAUUGAAUCCUAAUAAAACUCUUUAAAAUUAUCUAAGAAAAUAAAUAAAUAAUAACCUAACCAAUAAAAUUACUUAACUCAUAAAUGAUGUGUCCCAACCAAUGAGAAUUAAGUAAAUAAUAAUAAUAAGAUACAUAAAAAAUUAAUCCACCAAUUUAUGGGCUUUUACUAUUCCAAGAUUGGUCCAGUGAAUUGCAUUCCCAUAUUUAUCAAUGUCACGAACAUGAUGAAUUAAAUUUGUCGCAACAAAGUCUUGGACAAAAGCAUUCAUCUUUGAUUUUAAUUGUCGUGCCUUGCUUCGAGUGAUUGGACCACUAGGAAAGAUAACCCUUUGAGUGUCACCUCCUUGGCUCGUAUCAUAUACAUACAUCAAAAAAUUAAAUUGCAAUUGAAUCCUAUUUUGAUUACGACGCCAAUAACCUAUGGAUCUCCCAAAUGCAUAAGUAAUUUAACUCAUUCUAAAAUGACAAACAACAAAAGGUAUAAAAGUAAAACAUAUCCUCCAAAAGAGUUAUUGCCUGAGAGUUGAAUGUAGAAAAUGACUACAAAACUAAAACUAAGAAAACCCAAUUGAAAGUGUAAGAGAAAUCUCUUGAAGCCUCUAUGUUUCUACUAUUUACAAAGCUUUUCUAAGACAAAAUCUCCAUUUAGUUUGGAAAUAGAAUAAAAAGCAAUAAAAAAUAAUCUAAAUCUCAUUCUACAACUACCUAUAACUCAAAAUUAACUAAAAAUCACUCAACAACAAUGCAAAUGUGAGUGAAAAAAAGGCAUAAAAAUAUAAUAAAUAUUUGUUCAUCAGAACUCAGAUUAUAAAAAUAAACAAAAUAAAUUAUGUUAUAAAAAUAUUGUAUAUAUUAAAAUUUUAAAUUUAUUUAUUUUGACAUUUUAAUUUUAUCCCAUAUAUCAUAAUUUUUCCUUUUAAUUUUUUAAUAUUCCAUAGAAAAAUUAUUAUGCUUUCUUAAAGAAGAUACAAUUUAUUUUAUUGGGUUUACUUUUUAUUUAAAAAAAUUAAUUUAAAAUUUUAGUUGAUUAAAUUUACUUUUAAGAUUAUUUACCCUAGAUAAAAUAAAUUAAAAUCAUUUUAAAUUUAACUCCUAGUUGAUUUACUUCUAAUCAAAUUAAAUUCAUUUGCUAACAAUAUUUAUAUUAUUGUAUUGACAUAUUAAUAUAUAUAUUUUUUGAACAAUUUCAAUAUAGAUUUUGAUUAUAUCUACUCUCUUUUUUUAAAUAAUGUUUAGAACUACCCAUAACCCCUUCCACAACUAUGCACUUCAGCGCACUCGAACUCGUGUCCUCCCAUACUAGCAACAAUAUCGAUAUAGAAAAAUAUUAAAUAUAUUUUUUGAUUAUGGACAUACAUGUAAGGUACGUAGAACAAUGUUGUAUCCAUUUCACCAAAUUAUAUACAUUUUUGUCUAAAUUUGAAGGAUUAUUUAAACUAGAUUUUGAGCUUUUGUUUGGAUAUAUCUCUCAAAUGCUUGGGCAAAAACUUCCUACCCAACUGCAAUUGUUGUCCCUUCUAUUUCAUCAAAUCAAAAUUAGCUAAGCAAUUACAUAUGAUCCUAUGAGAGGUCAAUUUAUUAAACUUUAAUAAUAGCUUCAUCUCAUCUACUUGAUUAUGAUUCAUAAGUUUACCUCUCUUAAUUAAUUAAAUAGUUGUCCUUAAAACAACAAUACUCAACCAUACAUUACACUAUUUGGUCCAAAAGUAACUAAAUCAUUUAGUCUACCAAUAUCUUUUUUUUUACUAAUUAAAAAUAAAUAGAUAGCUCGCAUUUGAUCAGAACGAAGGGAGGGGCAGGCAGGGGGUAGCUCGCUUAAAAUUGGAACCCACCUUAUUCUAAACUCAACUUCAUUAAUUAGUCUUUCCCUUUCAUAAGUAUGAAAACAAUUAGGCCCUUAUCACACCAAACAAACAAAUAAGUAGAUUCCAUAUCAAAUAUAAACCCUAUAUUUUUGUUUCAAUUUGGUCCAUACAUUAUUUUUUUUAAAAAUUGGUUCCAACAAAAUCUACAUGACCCCCACUUUCACUUUCUUCACAUAAAGCUUUUUUUUUUUUUGGGUGUUUUAGAUUUGAUAAUUUUAGAUACAAGAUUAUUGAGUGUAGAGGUGAUCAUGGGCCGGGCCGGGCCCAGAUAAAAUUUGUCCAAGUGCGGCCCAAAAGAAAAUUGUUAAGCCCGAGCCUAGCUCAACCCAUAUUAAAUAUAUAUAUUUAAUAUAUAAAAUAUAUAUAUUUGAUUAAAAGUAAAUAUAUAUUUAAUAUAUAAUUCGGGCCGGGCCCAGGCUAAAAAAGUUUUACCCGAGGCCCGGCUUGUUUUCUAAACGGGCCUCAUUUUUUUACCCAAACCCAUAUUUCGGGCCUAUAUUUUUACCCGAACCCUCCUAUUUUUCGGGCGGACCGUCGGGAUGGGCCGGAUAGCCCAACCCAUGAUCACCUCUAAUUGAGGGCAUGCAUCUCUCUUAUUGGUGGAGAUAUUACUCCCAAGGUGUUUAUGUUCAGGUUUAGCCUUAAGUUUAUCUUCCUAUUCUAAGAAAAAGUCAAAGAAAUUCACGAAAUUUAAGCGGUAGCGUUUGAAUUUACUAAAGAAAUAUUUUAUAAUUUUGACUUUGGGAAUCCAUACCAUUAAAUAAAAAUAUGAAGCGGAGAAAAGCUUUUGAAAGUUAAAACAAAUAGUGUAAAUCUAGACUUUGGUCUCCCAUUAUUGUUGGGAAAAUGAUAGGAACUUGGAAUCACAUAGUCCACAGAAAGGUGCCUAAAAUUUUCAAAUUUUAUAUGCUAAAAUCACUUCUCAAGCUUCACUAUGAUUAUUUAGGACUAGCCAUUGAGCAAUGGAACUAUUAAAACCAAAUGAGGAAUAUAUAUAUAUAUAUAUAAGAAAGCAAGAUGCUUUUACUUAUACUGUCAUUAUCAGGUAAAAGUAAAUUUAAAAUUCAAAUAAAUCUCAACUAUGAAGAUAAAGAUUGAUUGCUAUAUGUUGCAUUUGAAUUGGUCCAAGUCUGAAAAGGCUUUAACGUGAAUUACUGACAUAUGUAUGGAUUAUUAUUUAAUAAAUAGAUUUUUAAUUCUGUAAUUAAAAAUAUAUAUAAAUCUUUACCAAAGUAAAGCUAAAUUUGUUUUUUAUUUUAAUUAAGUUGUAUGUGGGGAUUACCUUCUUAAACUCAAUUUAUACAAGUUUUAAUUAAGUCCAAAUAGCUAACUUUUUGAAUUAAGUCUAACCAUUGUUAUUAAAGGAAAAACUCAUCUACUAUAUUAAAUUUUAUUAAUUCCUAGUUAAUUUUCUAAAACAAGUGCAUUAUGAUGAGUAGUUGUAAAAAUUGAAUUUUUUUCCUACCUUCCAAAAUCAGAUUUUCAAAUGAGAACUCUAACUCAAAACUAUUGAAUUUUUUUCCCUCCAACCAACCACAACUACAACCAAGAAUAUUCCCUAAUGUUGUAAAACAAAAAAGUUUAUAAAUACCCUUGGGUCUUUCCAUUACCAUGUGAAGAACUAAUGUUGCCUAUAUUUCACUUAAAAGGCAAAUUUCGGAAAAUGAUUUCUGAUUUUUUUUUAAAAAAAAAUUAAUAUAUAAUUCUACAUAAAAUAUUUUUCGUUAUUUGACAAAUUUCUUAAAAUUAUUUUUUAGAAGUUAUUUUUAAUGAAACAAAUACAACAUAAAUAUAUUUGUUACAAAAUAUUGUAGUAGCAUUUUUUUUUUACAAUCGAAAUUUAUUUUAUAAUAAGGCAAUAUUUUAUAACACUUAUAUAAACUUAAUAAUAAAUAAUAUUUAAUUAAAACUUAAUGAAAAUUACAUAUAUUACAUGUAUAAGAGUGGAUAUUGACACAUUAGAAUUGGAAGGAAUAAAUGAAACUAAACAUAAUUUAAACAAAUACACAUAUUUAUAUAAUUAAAAUUUUCAUAUUUUACACUAUAAAAUAUUUAUUAUUAAUAUAUUUAUAAUUUUAAUAUAUUAAAACAUUAAUAUAAAUAUUUUCCAAUAUUAUAUGAAUAAUAUUAUUUGAAAUUUAAAAUUUAAAAUUAUUAUUUUAAAUUUAAAAUUAUUAUUUUAAAUUUAUUAUUAAAAUAAAAUUUUAAUAUUAAAUAAUUUAUUAAAAUAAUAAUAUGUAUUAUUAUUUAUCAUAUUAUUAAAUAUAAAUAAUUAAAUAUGUAUGUUUAAUAAUAUUGAACUUUUUAAUAUUAUUUAUUAAUAUUCUAAAUAUUUUUAAAAAUUUAUUAUUAAUAUAAUAAUAUUAUACUUUAUUGAAGUUAAUUUUUAUAUAAAAAUAAAAUUAUUCAUAAAACAGCUUGUUUCCGAACUUAUGUUUCAAAAAAAAAGGUAAGUUAUUUUUUUUAAAAUGGUUUAUUUUCUGUUGACCUCAUUUUCUAUUGGUCGAAUUAUUUUUCGUAAAACAAAUAUAAAUAUAUAUAUUUUUCGUAUAUCAUUUUUUUGUGAAACGAACCCACCGAAAGUAACCAAAUUUAUUGCAAAAUCAAUUUAUGAAUUAGAACAAAUACUCGAAACUCGUACAACUCAUUUGAUGGUCAAUCGAAUUAGAACAAAUUAAUAUGAAUUUUUGUGGGGGGUUUGUAACCUCCCUAACUUGGCCUAGACGUUAGACCCGAAUUCGAGAGAUUACAUCAACCACUGAGAUGACCUAGAAGGGUAAUCGUAGUUUUUGAAAACAAUUAUUUUAAAACAUCUAUUUAAUUUAAUAGAAAACUUAGUUUAAAAGUCGUUUUUAUUAUUCUUUAAUAUUUUAAUUAUCAUCUCGCAGCGGAAAAGAUGGCAUUUAUUUACGCAUUUAAUAAAAUUGGGGUCCAUGCAUGCUAAUUAAUAAUCAGAGCAUAGUAUCUUAAGAAUUCAAAUAAAAUGUCAUGCAGAAUAAAAACAAUCCUAAGUCAUAAAUCCCAUGCCACAAUUUGAAAUAAAAUAUUACAGUCCUUAAAUAAUAAAAUAAAAUAAAUCAAAAGAUUAAGCCUUAAUAAAUUGGAAAUAAAAUAGACAAUGUCAAGACCCUUCGGGUGUCGUGCCCGCGUGCUAACCUGGUGGGUUAUCUGUAAGGAUGAAAAUUUAAUGAGGGUGAGCUUUGAAGCUCAGUGUAAGUCCAAUUACAAUAAAAUCAAUGUGACAGUUGUUAAGACAAAUUAAUUAACAUUGCAUAAAAUAAUCGUGCUUAGUAAUUUAGUUCAUAUUAUCAGAUUUUUCAAGUGCAACCAUCAUUAAUAUGGCAGAACUCACAAUAACAGUUUUCAGAGUUAACCAAAAUUCUCAGAUUUGCCACAGUAAUCAUAUUCAUGCACAUAUGUAUCAUAUCAUAAUUUUCCAUAUUUUUAUGCACAUGAUUUAAAUGCUGUCAUACAACUUUAGAUUUAAAUAGAAUAAACCCUACCCCACCGCUACACACCAAGAUGUGGAUAAACCACUAUUGGUUCGUAGAUAAUAAUUGCCAUUACUAUGGACACACAACAAGUCCCCGCGGUUGUGAUCCACCUUUGGCUAUAGGUUCACAGCAAAAGUCCUGCAGAUGAAAACUGCUUUUUGGCUGUAGAUUUUCUAGCAUAAACCUGCCAUUGGAAUUGACCUUUGGCUGUAGGUACACAACAGUUUGCAGGUAAGAACUGUCGCAUGGAUGUCACUUUGCACCACCAUUUUUCUUGCAGUUAGACUGCUUGUUUUUCCUCCGUACAUAUCGUCACAACCUAUGCAAUGCAUUAUGACAUAUUGAAUUCAGACACAAUAUGAUAGCAUUUAAUGUACUAGCACAAGGCAAAUCAAUAGCAUAGUCAUGAUUUUACAUGUAUUCUGUUUUUAGUAUCAUAGGCAUGUCAUUUCAUACAAUCGCAAGUAUAGAUAUAGUAGUAACAUAUACUAUUCAUAAUUCAUGAAAUUAUUCAUAAAUAAAAAUAAAUACUACAAUAAGUCAAUUAAUCCUGAAUUCUAGCAUAUUUUUUUAUCAUCAAAUAUCUAAUUGCAUAUUUUAAUUUACUAAAAGCAUUUCAGAACCUAUUUAGGGACUAAUCUAUUCAAAACAUAAAAUUUUGGGUCUAAACUAAAGAUUCUAAGUUACAAGAGACACACGGUUGUGUGAUCAGACCAUGUGGAAAGCCCUAGACCGUGCGGAGGGGUAUACGAUCGUGUGGCUAGGCCAUGUAAGAGGUUAUGGUCGUGUGGCAUUCGAAAAUUCAACCUAUAAGGGAGACACGGUCGUGUGGCAGGCCAUGUAAGGAGUCCUAGGUCAUGUGAGAAGCGAAAACAUAGGGAUUUAUGGGGGACAUGAUCGUGAGGUCCACACGGGUGGCCCUGUAGGACCAUGUGACUGGCCGUGAGGUCUAACCUAGGCUCGAUUUUACCUCGAUUUUCUCAUAAAAGAACACACACUUAACUUCCGGAGUUUCAAACAACAGUCCUCACGUCCAACUUUGAUCCAAGAUACCUACAACAAGUCUUUCAACCAAAAAUUACGCGAGAACUAAUAUCGAUUUUCAAGAUUUAUCAAACUUAUCAAGAUUUUUGGGAAAACUCGUAAAAGAUUUGUAAUUGAUUUGAAAGAUUUGACAAGAACGAUGUUUUCUAGAAUUUUCAGGUUCUACCUAAUUGGAAACAAGAAUACACCAAUCUUUGAUGGGAUUUCGAAGAUUAUCGGUGAUAGAUUUGAUGCUCGGAGGGAGAAUGGGUUAAAUCACGAAUCGAUUUUUAUUUAGGAUUUCAAAAUAUUAGUUUCCAAAAAAGAAUGUAAUUUUUUUAUGAAAAGAAAAAAUGGAAUAAGAGAAAAAGAUGUACUUAAAGAAAAGAGGGAAAAUUUAAGUUAGAGUUGAAAAAAAAGUAGAAACUCACGUUUAGCUUAAUUAGGAAGAGAGAUUAAGUAGUUAUGGUUUCAAUUUGAGGGAUUGAAUGGUAAAAUAACCCUUUUGUCGAAAAUGAAGAAAAAGAAAAAAAGGAAAUGAAUUUAGCAUGACUUAAACUUGAGUGCAAGGAAGAAGGAUAGUUCUAGACCAUUGAACUGUUACCCACACUAGAUUUAUUUUUACCAUAUUUAUUAAAUAUUGUAGUUGACAUUGGUUCCUUGGUUGCUGAAAUAAAAUAGAAGAAAAUGGGAAUAGUAGGGGGGUUUAAACAGUGGUUCUCUAAGGAGUAUCAUCUACUCUUAACAAUCAAGACUAAGACUCAUUUCUUGAUGAUUAAUUAUGUAAGACCCAAUUUCUGCCCGGGUCCAAAUAUUAAAACAAGAUAAAUAACAGUCCAAUUACAAAGGAAAAAUAAUAGCCCAAUGUAGCCCACAGCCCAAACUAAACCCUAGCCCAAAUCUAUUCACUUGUUUUUUUUUCAAAUCUAUUUUUUUUAAAAAGUUAGCAAAUAAGAUAAAAAAGAAAAAGAAAAAGAAAGGAACUACCUGAAUCGACCCCUGAAUCCGGCACCAUCAUCGGCCUUUUCGCCGUCACCGGAUGCGGAUUUAGGGGGAAAGCUCUCCUUGUUCUCCUCGAUUCUUAUUCCAAAGCUCGGACCCCUGAAUAUGCUUCAAUACACGGGUCGGAGACUCCUUCGCGCGACACCGGCCACCGGCCAUGGCGGCGAUUAGGAGCGGCUGAGAAAUGGGGUUAGGGUAAUUUGAGAAUCUCUGUUUUUUAGAAAAAGGGAAAUGGGGGCUGAUUGUUUAUUUAGGGUUUUAAUUUUUUUAUUUAUAUAAGAAUGUGCAGCGCCAUUUGAAAGCUUGGAGAGCUGCGCAUUAAUGCCCUAAUGGGUAUUUUACGCAAUUAGUCCCUCCAAUUCUGUGGACAUUCGAUGCACUCUCUUAUUUUACUAAAUUUCGGCCACAGAAUUUUGCGUCUGUUCCAAUCCAGUCCUGCGCAAAAACAAUGCGCAUAAGGGACGGGGAAUAUGCACAACAAAAUUUGAUCAAAGGUGGGGCAUGCGGUAGUCUUGCCCUCUCUGAAUUAAUAAGAAGGAGAUGCUACAUCUUGGGGCAUCAACAAAGUCUUCUAGGACUUCUAAACACAUAUCAGGUUCAAAAGGGUCCUCAAGAAGUUUGAGGCAGAGAAGCUCAUGCUACGAUAUUUGGGACACCUAUUUCCAUUUUAUUCAUUUUUUGUAUUUUUAACAAAAUACACCAUCUUGAUUAAUUUAUUCUCAUUUUGUGAUAUCUUGAUUGAUUCAUUCAUUUCGAGCUUUGUUCUCAACAAAAUUUCAUCUUGUCCAUUUUGAUAAUCUUUUUCAAGCAUUUUUCAUUGAAAUAACGAUUACUGGACUGACAAUAUUCGAGCAAAAGAAGUUUUACAUAUUACUCUGAAAGCUUCUAAAUAGUACGAGGACCUGAAACAUGACUAUUGUUUAGAACUGACCAAAACUGAGGGUUGAAAACAUUUGAGAAAGGAUAGUCUAAAUUGAGACUAUUUCUUUGAAUCUUCUGUCAAAGAUACUUGCUAAACGAGAAAACAUCAGUGAUAAAACCUUGAUGAACAACGAGGAAUGACAACCCAAGCAUUAAAAAGGGAUCAUUCUCAUGACAUUUUGCAUUCAUGCAAAAAUUAUUCAUACACAUCUGGUUAGGAAACUUUGAUUCAUUCUGAUCAUAAUAUCCUAACAUUAGGCAUAAAUAGGUUUAUAAAAUUGACUUUACAGGUCAUGUUCCCCAGAGAGCAGAUCAAUAGAUUUAUUCAUACCUCUGAGAUUGCAAUUAAAAAGAUUGAAGCUGCAAUGGUGAAUCUUACUUCCCUGGCGAUGCAGUGGAGCAGAUUAAAGCUACGACGGCGAAUCUUGCUUCCCCGACAUUGCAAUUAAAAAGAUUGAAGCCGCAACGGUGAAUCUUACUUCCCUGGCCAUGUAGUGGAUCAGAUUGAAGCUACAACGGUGAAUCUUGUUCCCCGACAUUGCAAUUAAAAAGAUUGAAGCCGCAACGACGAAUCUUACUUUCUUGGCAGUGUAGUGGAGCAGAUUAAGGCUACGACGGUGAAUCAUGCUUCCCCGACAUCGCAAUUAAAAGAUUGAAGUCGCAACGGCGAAUCUUACUUCCUUGGCGGUGCAGUGGAACAGAUUGAAGCUACAACGGUGAAUCUUAUUCCCUGACAUUGAAAUUAAAAAGAUUGAAGUCGUAACGGCGAAUCUUACUUUCCUGGCGGUGCAGUGGAGCAGAUUAAAGCUACGACGAAAAAUCUUGCUUCCCCGAUAUCGCAAUUAAAAGAUUGAAGCCGCAACGACGAAUCUUACUUCCUUGGCGGUGCAGUGGAAUAUAUUGAAGCUACAACGGCGAAUCCUAUUCCCUGACAUUGCAAUUUAAAAAAAUUAAAGCUGCAACGACGAAUCUUACUUUUCUGGUAAUGUAGUAGAACAGAUUGAAGCUAUAACAGCGAAUCUUGUUCCCCGACAUUACAGUUAGUUAGACUGAAGAUAGCAGAUGUUACCUUCCUAUAUUGACAGUGAAAUAGAUCGAAGAUAGCUAGUCUUGUCUUCCUGUAUUGGCAGCGAAGUAGACUGAAGAUAGCAGAUCUUGUCUUUCUGUAUUGGCAGUGAAGUAGAUCGAAGAUAGCAAGUCUUGUCUUCCUGUAUUGGCGGCUAAGUAGACUGAAUAUAGUAGAUCUUGUCUUCCUGUAUUGGCAGUAAAGUAGAUGGAAGAUAGUAAGUCUUGUCUUCCUAUAUUGGUAGCGAUGUAGACUGAAGAUAGCAGUUCUUGUCUUCAUGUAUUGGCAGUGAAGUAGAUCGAAGAUAGCAAGUCUUGUCUUCCUGUAUUGGCAGCGAAGUAGACUGAAGAUAGUAGAUCUUGUCUUCCUAUAUUGGCAACGAAGUAGAUCAAAAACCACAGAUCGUAUCUCUCUAAGUAGUGGUGGAGCAGACAAAAGAAACCAAUCCUAUCUCCCUGAAGUUCCAGUGGAGUGGAUUAAAACCACAGAUCUUAUAUCUCUGAAGUUGCAGUAGAGCGGAUCGCAUCUAGUCUUAUCUCCCUGAAGUUGUAGUGGAGCAGACUAAAACCAAAUCUCAUUCCCAUAGAGUUGCAGCAGAGUGGAUUACCACCACAAGCACAUCUCUUUUUGAAGUUGCAGUGGAUUGGAUCGAAGCAACAAGGCAUGGUGGACUGAAAUGGAGCUACUUGAAGAAGAGAAGCUACAACAAGUCAAGAAUCGACGAGACCAGGCAAAAUUGAUCUUUCUUGGUCUUUGUUCUAUUCUCGUUACACGACAAUAAGCAAAAAGGGGCAGCUGUAAGACCCAAUUUCUGCCCGGGCCCAAAUAUUAAAACAAGAUAAAUAACAGUCCAAUUACAAAGGAAAAAUAACAGGCCCAAUGUAGCCACAGCCCAAACUAAACCUAGCCCAAAACUAAAAAUUUUCAGCAAAACCUAGUGGCCUCCCCCAAACCCUAGAGCCGCAUGCCUCUGCCAGCCUCCCUCGCAUGCCGCUGCUAUCGUCACCGUUCCUCCACGCACACCUGACACCUGUAGAGAGAAAUCAAUGCAACCAAUAGAAUAAACAAAUAGCAAAUAGACAAAAAAAAGAAGAAACGAACAGUUCUGUAAGUCGGCUAUAAAAAGCCAUGAAAUAUCAAUGUAUCUUCUUCUUCUUCUAUUUUACGAACACACACCAGUCAAUCGAUACUCAGAAACUGAAUUCUAAAGGUUGAUUUUUUUUUGUAAACUGUUCUUUUCGUUUUUUUCUUUUUGUUAUUCUUUCUAUUCACUUGUUUUUUUUUUCAAAUCUAUUUUUUUUAAAGUUAGCAAAUAAGAUAAAAAAGAAAAAGAAAGGAACUACCUGAAUCGACCCCUGAAUUCGACACCGUCAUCAGCCUUUUCGCUGUUACCGGAUGCGGAUUUAGGGGGGAAAGCUCUCUUUGUUCUCCUCGAUUCCUAUUCCAAAGCUCGGACCCCUGAAUAUGCUUCAAUACAAGGGUCGGAGACUCCUUCGCGCGACACCGGCCACCGGCCAUGGCGGCGAUUAGGAGCGGCUGAGAAAUGGGGUUGGGGUAAUUUGAGAAUCUCUAUUUUUUAGAAAAAGGGAAAUGGGGGCUGAUUGUUUAUUUAGGGUUUUAAUUUUUUAUUUAUAUAAGAAUCUGCAGCGCCAUUUGAAAGCUUGGAGAGCUGCGCAUUAAUGCCCUAAUGGGUAUUUUACACAAUUAGUCCCUCCAAUUCUGUGGACAUUCGAUGCAGUCUCUUAUUUUACUAAAUUUCGGCCACAGAAUUUUGCGCCUGUUCCAAUCCAGUCCUGCGCAAAAACAAGCACAUAAGGGACGGGGAAUAUGCACAAUCGGUCCCCCAUGUCCUCAGCGCAUUUUGUUUCGGCCCCCUAGCCACCUGUUUCGUUUAUUUACAGUUUCGACCCCCAGAUUUUUGUUCGUUUCCAGUUUCAUCCUUGGUUCUUUAAUUUCUUUUAUUUUUUAUUUUUCUUUUAAAUUGCUCUUGUGUAUUAUUAUUAGUUUUGUUUGUUUUGAUUUCAUUCUUAUUUUCUUUCUAAACUGUGUAAUUUUUUUUUCUUUUAUAUAUAUUAUUUCAUUUAAAUAGUUUUAUUUCAUUUUUACGUAUUAUUCAUAUUAAACCAAUUUUUUUAUAUGUAUUAUUUUAAAUUUUCUUUUCUAUAUGACAUUCCAAAUUUUUUUUAUACCAUUUCCUUUAAGAUGUAUUAUAUGUUAAUUAUUUUAAAAUUGUUUGGUACCUUUUUCGAGUUUACUAUUUGUCUUAAUUUAUUUAUUAUCCGUUUCAAGAUUUCUUAUAUAUUCCUUUUUAUGCUUCCAUGUGUACAUAUAUAUUAUUAUUUAUCUUAAAAUUUUUCAUAUAUAAUAUUUUGAAAUUGUUUUGUAUAUGAUUGAUUUUUUUAAAUUUCUUUUUAUAUUAUUUAUUUAAGACUCAUUUAUUAUCUUUUUAAAAUUAUCUUACAUUUAUUUAUUCUAAUUUACUUUAUACUACUCAUUUCGAAGUUAUAAUGUUAUUUAAUUUAUUCAUCCUUUUUAUUAAUACUGAUGUUUAAAUAAUGUAUGUUGAGUGAUUAUUUUCAUUGUGUGUGCCAUUGGUGUAAUUUUAUUCAUGUAUCAUUACUUUAUGUUUAUUAUCGUAUUGUUAGUUCACGUCCUUGUUUUGUAAAUUAAACUCCGACAUAGUUAUCCAACUUAGAUUGCUUUAUUUUAUUCUAAGUGAGAUAAAUGCAUACCUUCAAAUAGAUUACCCGCUAUUAUUCAGGAUGGAAUUUUGUUGAAUGAGGCAAUAUUUUGCAUUUUGGAAAUUCGAGAAAUUGUACCCUAACUUAUUGGGUCUCGAUUUUCUCGUUAAACCUAAAUAGCAAAAUAUCCUUUUAAAUUUCCAAACACAUAAAAUUUCAAAAAUAAAGGUAAUAUUCUUGUAGAAGCCCAAAUUGCCCGGGCCCGAUUAUAUCAAAACCCGACCAAACCUCUAAACUCACUAAAACCCUUAACCCAUGACCCAUUUACAUCUAUCCAAACCCAUUACAAAACCCAAAUAUUAAACCCAAUUCAAAAGCCCAUUAAGCCCUCCAAAAAAAACCUAACCCCCCCCCCAAAAAAAAGAAAAAACCUAACCCCCCCCAAAAAAAAAAGAAAAACCUAACCCCAAAAAAAAAACCAAGAAACUUUAGCCACCUAGCCACUUUCCCACUUGCCCCAUUUUUCCUCCCAUUUUUGAUAUCCAUUGUCUACCACCACCACCUACAAAAUAGAAAAAGAAAUAAUAGAAAAUCAUGUAAAAGAUGGCUAUAAAAAGCCAUUCAAAAAUCAUGUAAGAAGGGGGAAUUUUGAUCAAUACAAAGAAUUUAUCUUCAAAAAAUACCUAAAGGUGAUUUUAUCUUCUUUAUUUUACUCUUUUUUUAUUUUUAUUUUUUAUUUUUUUUCCUUUUUUUGAAUCUAUUAAUCUAUAUAUAUACAUCAUAAUAAAAUAUAUAAUAAAAAUAUAUAUACAAAACAAAUAUUAAAAAAAUUACAUUUUUCGGCCACCACGUGCGGUGGCCGGCGCUGGUGACGGACGGCGGCCGACGGUCGGCCGGUGACCGGCCCCUGGCCGGAUUUACCUUCCCCCCUCCCUUCUCUCUCCCCUCUCUCUUCUUUUUCAUUUAUUUUUCGUAUUUACCUUGGAUUUCAUAUUAUUUUGCUAUUUAAUUUAGCUUUAAAUAUUAAUCAUGUUAUAUAUGUAAUAUUGUUAUCACUAUUAUUUUUAUAUAUUGUUAUUAUUAUAUUAUAUUUAGCUAUAUAUAUAUUUUCUUUAUGUUCCGUUUCCUACUAUUAUAUGCAUAUAUAUCUAUUAUUAUAUUUAUUAUUAAUAUUGUUAGCACUAGUACUUUUACUUAAUGUGUAUGUAGAUAUACAUGUACAUAUUAAUAGUUUUUUUAUCAUAUGUAUAUAUUGUAUAUAUUAUAUUUAUAUUAUAUAUAUUCUUAAUGUUAUUAGUUGUAUACUUCUUGUAUAUUUCUAUGUAUAUACUUUAUAUUGUCUCAUGUACAUACUCCGAAAUACUAUUAUACAUAUACGUAUUUUUAAUACCAUAUUGAGUAUAUAUUAUUGUAUUUAUUUUUAUUCCGAUUAUACUUAUUAUUAAUGUUAGUACAUAUAUUUCACCAUAAGUGUAUAUAUACCUUUUUGUGUAUAUAAUAUUAUUUUCGUAUAUUUAAUUAUUAUUCUAAAAAAGGGUUAUAAUAUGUACAUAUUUAUGAAGUAUUAUUAAUAGUAUUAUUUUUAAACAUCAUUGUUACUUCUAAUAUAUAUAUUAUGUACAUUUUUUAUUUCUAUUUUGUUUUUUUAUUUGUCAAUAUUAAUUAUUAUUAUUCUAAUAUUUUGAUAUUUUAAUAUUUUAUAUUAUUCACAUCACUAUUCGCAUUUUUUACAAUAAUAUUCUUACAUUUUUUACUAUCAUUUUAGAAACUUUUUACAUUUUAAUUUUAAGAAUAAGGCAAUGUACCGAUUUUAACAUUAAGUCAUCGAUUUCAUCGCUAUGUUGGGUGAAAUUCGUCGGCUUGUGUUAAAAAACGGGACACCCUUUCUAAAAAAAUCGAAAACUAAAAAUUCUCAUUUUUCAAUCGGAUCACGAUUAAAUAUUAUAUUGAACUCGUAUUUUUGAAAAUCAAGUCAACACAUGUUUAUGAGAUACCAAUUUUGGACGUCGCGAGGGUGCUAAUACCUUCCUCGCGCGUAACUGACUCCCGAACCCCAAUUUUUCUCUGGACUUUCACGUAGACCUAAAUUCAGCCUUCUUUUUGUUUUAAAAUAAUUUUAUUAGGUAUCCGAUCACACCUAUAAAAAAGGAUCGGUGGCGACUCCCUUUGUUAAUAAAAUCGAAAGUUGGUUUUCAAAUGUUUAAUAAAUCGCCACAAUUAGCGACCAAGCGAAACUAAAUUUUUUUUACGUCGCUACAGCUGGCGACUCCACUGGGGACACUUUUUGAGAGUCGAGUCGAAUUAAACUCGCGUUGUCAAAAUUUUCAAAGUUCCUUGUUCAAAUUAACAUUUAGUCGUGAUCCUCAAAUUUUUUGUUUUCAAAAAAAUCAUGCAUUUGCAUCGUGUUGUAUAUAUUCUAACUUGUUUUAUCCGGUUGUUUUUCAGCUUUAAAUUUUUGUGAUUUUUGUUUUGGUUUAGAUUUUCUAAAUAAAACGUAAAGGUUUACAAGUUUCUCCCCACACACCGUGCACGUGCAUUUAUGUUGCAUAACAUGAGCUCUAUACCCGGGCUCCGUCCCUGUUAAGAGAAAGUAAACGCUACGCCUUCGUGAGUUAACUCGUUCCUCCGCACAGGCUAGUGAAUACUUUCGGGUUACAUAUGACUUAUGCUUUCGUGAGUUAACUUGUCCCUCCGCAUAGGCAUAAGUAAAUGUAAUCCCUCGAAUUGAUCUCGUAAGCCUAUGAUGGGCCAUGACCGAGGCUCUAUACUAAUCUUAGUAGAUGACAGUGCAGACGAUUCGAGUACCCACCUAGAACCAAAACCGCAUAUAGUGAACCAUACGAGCUAUCCAAUUAGAGCCAUGCCGAACCUCUGUCCGCUUAUAAUCAUCAAAAUAAGUACACGGGGAAAAUGCCUUUUGCCUUUCAUUUACACUGUUUAUGCAAAAUAAUUGGAUUGGGUAGUUUAAUUUGUUUUUCAAAUUAUAUUUGUUGUGUUUACUAACCAAGUUUGUUUGUUUUUACUUUUAUUUUCAUCAUGCAUCAUAGGCAUCAUAUUAGGAAGGUGUUGAUUAAAAGUUGGUUGCCAAAAAAACGGGUUUCUGAUGGAGGAGUCAAUUACACAAAUAACCGAGAAGAAUGCCGUGGUUCGGGACUGGUCUCUAAAAAUUCAGAGAGAAAAGGGGGAUAGUCUAGUGGAAGGGUGUGUCGCUAAUUUGCCCGAACAUAUAACUGUAAAUGUUCGCCAAAAUAACUUUGAGGAUUUGGUUCGAAUUUGGAAUCAGUGGGAUUCAGACACUAGAGACAUUUUCACUGAGAGGUAUGGAGAUAUAGCUCACCUGAUCACCAUCCGUGUAGACGAAUAGUUGAUUCAAGCCGUGGUUCGGUUCUGGGACCCAGCUUAUCAGUGUUUCACCUUCAAUCAAGAAGACAUGACUCCAACCAUAGAAGAGUAUGCUGCUUUACUCCGCAUCGACAAUGUACAAUUCGGCAAAAUAUAUGUGAAGGAGCCUAAGCCGAUGACCUUCAAGAAAAAGUUAGUGAGACUGACAGACAUGACUGAUGCAUGGGCCGAAAAACAGAUAAAGAAGAAGAAUGAAACCAUUUGCAUUCCAUGGUCCUCCCUACGAGAUUUGGCUCUGAACCAUCCCAACAUGCUGAAAAGGGUAAAUCUAUUCGCUUUGGCCAUUUACUGUUUGGUCAUUUUCCCAAAAGUUCUCGGACAUCUCGAAGUUACAGUAGUUGAUUUCUUCGAAAGGUUAAAACAAGGAAUCAACCCUGUCCCGACCAUCCUAGCCGAGACCUUCAGGUCCCUGAGUAGUUGUCGUAGAAAAGGGGAGGGACGAUUUAUCGGAUGCGCGCAGUUGCUCAAUGUUUGGAUUUUGAGUCACUUCUGGAAGGUAGAGUGCAUUCUGUUCCAUAUGUUUUCUAAAACAUUCUCCCCGCUAGAAGCUUACCUCAAUAAAGAAUGGCCGAAGGAAGUCACCGAGCAACAUUGGGUAUCAGUUUUUCAGAAUCUUCGCGCCGAGAAUAUAACAUGGAGAGCACCCUGGAUCCGUCCUUCAGUUCUGCUAUACAAAUGUGGAAGCCAAGAUUGGGUACCAUUACUCGGGUUAUGGGGAGGAGUUGGAUAUGCUCCGCUAUUAGUCCAAAGGUAAUUUUCUUCGCGACAAUUCCUCCCCGCAACUGGAGGAUUAGCACAGUUCGAGUUCGCUUUCGCGGGUGAAGGAUAUAUGAAGAGAGUCCGAGACACUGCAAAGUAUUGGAAGGAAAUUCAUUUCAUGGAUUUAGCUUUGUAUGUUGAUACCCUUACCCAAGAUUACGACAUAUGGAGGAAACAACGGGUAAAUAGUCAGCAAAUCUCAUCAACAAACUACACCAUCCAGAAUCCUUUCUCGGAGGAAACGCCGUCUGAGCUAGAAAUGGCAAGACAAGAAUUCGAACGAGAAAAGGCCAAGAUGUCUCGGGACCUUAGUGCCCUUCAAGAAGAAAACUAUCAACUGAAGAUUGAAGUUCAGGUUGAAAGGUCCAGGACUGAAAAAGUACAAAGAGAAGCCGAGAUUGUGAGAAACGACUUAAGGGACCUUCAUUUGGAAAACAAGAAAUUAAGAAACACUAUAAAGAAUAGCGGGUUGGGCAAGUCGACAGUAGAAUGGAAGGAAGAAAUUAGCAAUAUCAAGGGAGGAAUGGAGUUUUGGAAGGGAAAAGCAAAGAAAGAGGAGGAAAAGGCUGCGCGCGCUGUGAUAGAGUUAAGAAGGAAGAACACCAAGUAUGAAAUAGUGACUGCAAAAUUGGCAAAUAGUCAGUCUGAACAUCAAGAAUUAAAAAGGAAAACACGAGAUCUAGAAAAUAUGCUGCAAUCUCGUCAACAACAAUUAGAUAACCUCUUGAAGGCUCUAGAAGAAAAGAGUGAGCAGUACGAUAGGGACAUUCACGCGUAUGAAGGAACUCUCAAAGAAAAAGAAAUGCAACUUGACUUCUUGAUCAAUGAAAUUCGUAAAGCGGCUAUGCAAGUUGUUCAAUUAUCAGAUGAAGCCGAAGUUCUCAGUUGCCAAUUCCCUCCAAGCCAAAGAUCGAGCAUAUCAGAGUUUUUAGAGCAAGUGAAGAAACAAGGCAAUGUGGCUAGGAAAUUUGUGUAACUGUUGGAAAAAUGAGAACUUUGUGUAAUAGACUAUGUUGAUAAAUGAAAUGCCUAAAUAUGGGGCUAUCUUGAAAUCAACACCAAUUUCUUGCAUUUCAUUCAUAACUUACAUUCAUUUGACAUUCAUGUAUUCAUUCAUGCAUCAAUUCAUUCAUUGCAUAUCCCAUACUCGUUCGCUGAGAUUAAAGCGUACAAUUCGCAGUUGCCAGACUUCAAGACUGGAACCACGUCAUCCGUAUAAAACGCGCCGACAAGCUAGAGUAAUGGAGAAUGAAUUCAAUGAGAGAAUUGAAAGGAUGGAAAGGGCUCAAAAGGAAUUACAAGAGCAACUGGCCAAAUCGCAACAAGAGACGAGAGACCUGAUGGUGAGAUCUCGAGAGGAAUUGCUCGAGCAAAGAGAUCAGAUGGCUAAAAUGAUGGAGAUGAUAACAACUUUGGUCAAAGGAAAGGGACCCAUGCAGAACUCCGAUGUUAUGGAACCUCGGUCAAGAAUUCACCAUGAUCAGGAUCUAUUCUAUCCCCCGGGAUUCACUCCACCGCCCGCAUAUACAAUACAAAGAGGGUAUACUCAAGAGGAACCCACUGGCUUGGAACAUCGACCUAUGCCACCUGCUCCACCCACUAAUUUGGGGCAAGGAAUGUUAGCGUCGAACCUAGGGGCUAGUCCUGCUAAUCCACUAGUUCCAGAUUUGGAUGACCCAGCAGAGGUAGCCAAGUUGAAAUUGGAUAACCAUGACGCAAAAUAUAGGAGUCUAGAGGAAAGACUCAAAGCAAUAGAAGGCACUGAAGUCUUCUCCGCACUAGGUGCCAAGGAACUCAGUUUGGUACCUGAUCUAAUUUUUCCUCCGAAGUUCAAAGUGCCUGACUUUGAGAAGUAUGAUGGGACAAGGUGCCCAAAAGCACAUCUCAUUAUGUUCUGUCGAAAGAUGACCGGUUAUGUGAACGAGGAUAAACUACUCAUACAUUGCUUUUAAGAUAGUCUAACAGGGUCAGCUCUUCGGUGGUACAAUCAACUUAGUAGAGAAAAGAUUUGAUCCUGGAAGGACUUGGCGUCAGCAUUUUGCGAGCAGUACAAGCAUGUAUCGGAUAUGGUGCCAGACCGUAUGACCUUGAAAAUGAUGGAGAAAAAGCCAUCAGAGACCUUUAGACAGUAUGCGCAGAGAUGGAGAGACGUCUCAACUCAAGUGGAACCCCCACUAACAAAAACGGAGAUAACCGUUCUCUUUAUCAAUACUUUAAAGGCACCGUUUUAUGAAAAAUUAGUGGGAAGUGCCACGAAAGAUUUCGCGGAUAUUGUAAUAUCCGGUGAACUCAUAGAGAAUGCCGUCAAGAGCGGUAGAAUGGAAGGAUUAGAAGGCUCAAGAAAAGUAGCACCCUUAAGGAAGAAAGAGCCAGAAGCCCUCAUGGUGGGAACUGGGAGUCAUUACAUUCCCAAUUCGUAUCCUAAUCAACCCCGACCUCGAGAUUAUCCACCCUCGAAUUUCCAUUAUCCCCCUCAAACCCCUUACUACCAAGCACUAUAUCCGUCCUGCCCCGUAUACGCAACGAACAACCAAAGACCCGUCACCACUUUCCUAAAAAACACGGUACCCGCCCAAAGCCAACCCAGAAACGAACCAAGACCAUCAAGGCCUAAUCCCGAGAGACCGCAAUUUACCCCCAUCCCUGUGUCGUAUGGGGAAUUGUACCCAAAACUUUUAGAAAAAUAGCUAAUUUCUCCCCAUUACAUGGCACCCCUUAAACCUCCAUACCCAAAGUGGUACGAUCCAAAUGCUAGUUGUGCAUACCACGCAGGGAACCAAGGGCACUCUACUGAGAACUGUCUCGCUUUCAAAAGGAGAGUUCAAGGACUCAUUGACGCGGGUAUCCUACGAUUCGAUAGUGCUAGUAACGCCACGGGGAACCCGUUCCCUAACCAUACCGAAGGGAAUGUGAGCACAGUGGGGAAAGAGGAUGAAUGGAAGGUCAGAAGAUGUGUGGCAGAAAUAACGACGCCUCUGCAGAAAAUCUGGGAGGUAUUAGUUAAGAAAGGAUUGCUCUGUCACUCUGAUAGAGUUUUUGGAGAAGAAGGUCAAAGUUUUUGCAAUUUUCAUGGGAUUGUUGGGCACGACAUUCAGUCGUGCGAGGACUUUAAAAGGUUACUUCAAGACCGGAUGAAUAAUAAGGAGAUCAAGGUCUUUAACAAGAGUGAAGAUGCCAACGAAAGAGAAGUAUGCGUCUCUGAUAGCCAAUCAUCAGGGCCCCCUUAUAGUGCUGAUCGACCGUUGGUAAUUUAUUACGACGCGAUGAGAGAGCCAUUGAAACCACAGAUGGUAAUUGAAGUACCAUCUCAUUUCCCGUAUAAGGACAACAAAACAGUACCGUGGAGAUAUGAUGUUAAUAUCGUUACACCGAAAGUUGAAAAGUCCAAAGCCAUAAUUGAAGAUGUUGGGGAGGUAGGUCAUUUUACUCGAAGUGGACGAUGCUAUUCUAAAGAAAUUGAACCGGUAAAGAAAAGUAGCGACUCGAAGCAAAAAGGGAAAGCAGUGAUGCACGAGGUCGAAGUUGAGCAAGAAAUUCCACCCGUGCAAGAAACUAAAAAGCCUGUGAAUGAGGAAGAAGCUCAAGAAUUCUUGAAAUUUAUUAAGCACAGCGAAUAUAGUGUGGUGGAACAACUGAGCAAGCAGCCAGCACGAAUCUCAGUUCUAUCUCUACUGUUAAAUUCAGAGCCACACCAGAACGCUUUAUUGAAGGUGUUAAAUCAAGCUUACGUGGCCAACAACAUAUCUGUCGAAAAGCUUGAUAGGUGGGUAAACAAUCUGAAUGCGGACAACUUCAUCUCUUUUAGUGAUGAUGAGAUACCGCUAAAUGGUAGAGGUUCGGUGAAAGCGCUGCAUAUCACGACCCGCUGCAAGGGCUACAUAAUACCGAACGUACUCAUCGAUAAUGGGUCAGCAUUAAAUGUUAUGCCAUUGGCUACACUUUCUAGAAUACCGAUAGAUUUGUCCUACUUAAAGCCUUGUCAUUCCACGGUAAGGGCCUUCGACGGGACGAGGCGUGAAGUCAUGGGAAAGGUCGAAAUCCCUUUGGAAGUGGGCCCCUACAUAUAUGAGGUCGAAUUCUAAGUCAUGGACAUUACACCCUCUUAUAACUGCCUUUUGGGAAGACCUUGGAUUCAUUCUGCUGGAGCAGUCCCAUCAUCCCUCCAUCAAAAAGUGAAAUUCAUCAUGGAUGGCUGUUUGGUCACAGUCGAGGGCGAAGAAGACAUCAUCGCAUCUAUCUCUGCUGAUGCGCCAUACCUGGAAGUAAGCAAGGAUGCAGUGGAAUGUUCUUUUCGAUCCCUUGAAUUCAUCAAUGCCACUUUCGUCGCUGAGGGAAAUAGAAUUCUGAUGCCAAAACUGUCGAGAAAUACCAGAAUGGGUGUCAAGUUGACCAUAGGAAGGGGAGCUCGUGCGAGAAGAGGUUUAGGGAGACAUCUGCAAGGAAUAGUGAGGGCUUUAAAGCCAGUGCACCACAAGGCCCGAUACGGUUUGGGGUUCCGGCCUGACAUGCGCCAAAGAAGAAGACAGUGGAAAAAGGAUCAAGAGAGAAGAAUUGCAAGAACUUUGGGCCGAGAACCAGAAUGGGAACCAAUAGAGUACCCUUCUUUUUCAAAAACAUUUACAUCUGCGGGAAUGAUGUACCCUGGACAAGAGGAUCCACGAAACAUGCUGGGAUUAAUUGAAAAGGAUUUUCAGAAUGCUAGUAUAAAUGUCAUUGACAAAGAAGCUGGUGCAAGUAAAGAUGUCUCGAGGAUACACCCUUGCCCUCCUGGUUUCAUGUUGAACAAUUGGAUUGCUGAGGAGCUUCUUGUAGUUUAUAAGCCUUCAGAGUAAUGCCAAACAUCAACCUUCUAUUGUGUCCUUAGAUAUAAUAGAGUUCUUUUGUAAGAGUUUGCAUUCGCUCUUUAUCAUUUAAAUGAAUUUCAAUGAAGAUGUAUUUUGUCAUGAUUUUUCGCAUUAUCACUAAUUUCAUAAUCAUUUUCUCAUUUCAUAGCCUAUCCUUACAUUUGCCUCAUUGCCAUGACAUAACAUUUUGUUUGUUGUUUCCAAUACUUGGAUGUCCCCCGAUAGCUUCCUUUUCCAUUCAACUUUUAGGUGCUCAGAUAUUGACGACAUGAAUAAGCCCGUUACGAAUCUUGAAAUUAAUGUUGAGAAGGCUGUUUGCUUAGGAGAAUUUGAAGCCGAAGAAAAUGCUGAAGAUUAUGUCUCGUCUCCUGAAUUGUUAAGAAUGGUGGAACAAGAGGAUAAACAGGUUCUGCCUCAUGAAGAAUCUGUAGAAACAAUAAAUUUAAGCACUGAAGAAAGGAAACAAGAAGUGAAGAUUGGGACUUCUAUUUCAGAAAGUACCAGGCGUAGUUUGAUCACUUUACUCCGCGAAUACAAAGAUGUUUUCGCGUGGUCAUACCAGAACAUGCCAGGGCUAGAUGAAGAUUUAGUGGUCCAUAAGCUCCCAUUAAAGCCAGAAUGCAAGCCCAUCCAGCAAAAAUUAAGACGGAUGAGGCCCGAAAUGCUGUUGAAAAUAAAAGAGGAAGUCAAGAAGCAAUUUGACGCUGGCUUCCUACAAGCCUCCAAAUAUCCAGAACGGGUGGCUAACAUAGUCCCGGUACCAAAGAAAGAUGGAAAAGUACGAAUGUGCGUGGAUUAUUGUGACCUGGAUCGAGCAAGCCCAAAAGAUAAUUUUCCCUUGCCAUAUAUUGACACGUUGGUGGACAACAUAGCAAAACAUUCAUUGUUUUCUUUCAUGGAUGAAUUCUCGGGGUAUAAUCAGAUCAAGAUGGCUUCUGAGGAUAUGGAGAAAACUACCUUCAUAACAAUGUGGGGAACGUUCUGCUACAAGGUGAUGCCAUUCGGGUUAAAGAAUGCUGGGGCAACAUAUCAGAGGGCUAUGGUGACGUUAUUCCAUGACAUGAUGCAUAAAGAAAUAGAGGUCUACGUCGACGAUAUGAUUGCUAAAUCUCGAGGAGAAGAAGAGCAUGUAAUGAACCUCAAGAAGUUGUUCGAAAGGUUGAGAAAGUUUCAGCUAAAGCUUAAUCCAGCCAAAUGUACAUUCGGGGCUACAUUGGGAAAGUUGCUAGGCUUCAUUGUCAGUGAAAGAGGUAUCGAAGUUGAUCCAGAUAAAAUAAAAGCCAUCCAAGAAUUACCACCUCCGCGCACGCGAAAGGAAGUUAGAGGAUUUUUAGGGAGAUUAAAUUACAUCGCCCGAUUUAUCGCUCAACUUACCAACCAAUGCGACCCAAUCUUUCGGCUUCUUCGAAAACGUAACCCGGGAGAAUGGAACGAGGAAUGCCAUGUGACCUUUGAUAAGAUAAAACAAUAUUUGUCCAGUCCUCCAGUGCUAGUACCGCCAACUCCGGGAAGACCAUUAAUUUUGUAUCUGACAGUGUUCGAAAGUUCAAUGGGUUGCGUACUGGGACAACAUGACGAGUCAGGAAAGAAAGAAAAGGCGAUCUGCUACCUCAUCAAAAAGUUCACUGAAUAUGAGGCAAAAUAUUCGUCCGUUGAGAAAUAUUGUUGCGCUCUGGUUUGGGUAGCUCGGAGACUCAGACAAUAUAUGUUGUAUCACACGACAUGGCUAAUUUCAAAGCUGGACCCAAUAAAAUACAUGAUGGAAUCGCCGGCACUAUCAGGAAGAAUCGCACGAUGGCAGCUCCUCCUUUCGGAAUAUGACAUUGCCUAUGUAAGUCAGAAGUCAAUAAAAGGGAGCGCAAUAGCUGACUUCUUAGCAACUCGAACGACAGAGGAAUAUGAGCCUUUAAGAUUCGAUUUCCCAGACGAAGACUUAAUGUGAAUCACAGAAAUAGAAUCCGAGUCAUCAAAAGAGAAGUCAUGGAAGAUGUGCUUUGAUGGUGCGUCAAAUGCUUUAGGGCAUGGAAUUGGAGCAAUCCUGGUAUCACCAGACGGGAAUCAUUAUCCGUUCACUGCAAGACUGAACUUCUUCUGUACCAAUAAUAUCGCAGAAUAUGAGGCCUGUAUCAUGGGGCUUCGUGCAGCUAUUGAACGAAACAUCGAGAUCUUGGAGGUGUACGGGGACUCAGCCCUAGUGAUUUACCAAAUCCGUGGAGAAUGGGAAGUGAGGGACUCAAAAUUGAUUAAGUACAGCGAUUUAGUGGCUGGAUUGAUCAAGGAAUUCAAAGAAAUAACUUUUCAUUACUUCCCACGAGAAGAGAACCAACUGGCUGAUGCCCUAGCCACUUUGGCUUCAAUGUUCAAAGCAAGUAGAGAAGCAGAAAUAAUGCCCCUCAAAAUGAGCAUAUACGAGGUCCCUGCACACUGUUGUAGCAUUGAGAAAGAAGUAGACGGAUAGCCUUGGUUCCAUGAUAUCUUAGAAUAUAUCAAGAAUCAAAGGUAUCCCGAACAAGUGAAUGAGAACGAUAAAAGAACAAUUAGAAGAAUGAUAGCGGGAUUUGUUCUUGAUGGGGAUAUCCUGUAUAAAAGAGGAAAGGAUCAGAUGCUUUUGAGAUGUGUGGAUGAUGUUGAAACCAGAAAAAUACUUGAAGAGGUCCAUGAGGGAAUUUGCGGAACGCAUGCCAAUGGUUUCAAUAUGGCCAGAAAGAUCAUGAGACUCGGUUAUUAUUGGCUGACAAUGGAAAGUGACUGCAUCAAUUUUUCCAGAAAAUGCCACAAAUGUCAAAUCUACGGCGAUAAAAUUCAUGUAGCCCCUUCACCCCUUCAUGUCAUGACUUCUCCGUGGCCUUUUUCUAUGUGGGGCAUGGAUGUCAUAGGACCAAUUUCUCUAAAAGCUUCAAAUGGACAUCGAUUCAUUUUUGUGGUUAUCGAUUACUUCCCAAAAUGGAUUGAAGCCGAUUCAUUUGCCAAUGUGACGAAGACUGCAGUGUGCAAGUUUUUGAAAAAGGAAAUCAUUUGCCGAUAUGGUUUGCCUGAAAGAAUCAUCUCAGAUAAUGCCACGAAUCUGAACAAUAAGAUGAUGAAAGAAGUGUGCGAGCAUUUCCAAAUAAAGCAUCAUAAUUCCUCGCCCUAUCGCCCAAAGAUGAACGGGGCUGUUGAAGCAGCUAACAAGAACAUUAAGAGGAUCAUUGGGAAAAUGACUGAGACAUAUAAAGAUUGGCACGAGAAACUUCCAUUUGCUUUGUUUGCAUAUCGCACAUCUGUGCGAACAUCUACGGGAGCAACUCCUUUCUCUCUAGUCUAUGGAAUGGAAGCUGUGCUACCUAUCGAGGUUGAGAUCCCCUCUCUGCGAGUAUUGAUGGAAUCAAAGUUAGAAGAAGCAGAAUGGGUUCGAGCUCGAUAUGAUCAGUUGAACCUCAUUGAAGAAAAACGUCUAAGGGCAAUUUGUCAUGGGCAAAUGUACCAAAAGAGAAUAAUCGCAGCCCAUGACAAGAAGGUACGACCAAGAGAGUUCCAUGAAGGAGAAUUCGUUCUGAGAAAGAUUCUCCCACUACAAAAAGACCGGCGAGGAAAAUGGGCACCAAAUUGGGAAGGACCAUACGUUGUAAAAAAGGCAUUCUCAAGAGGAGCUUUAAUCCUUACCGAGAUGGAUGGGAAGGAGUUACCGAAUCCGGUGAAUUCGGAUGCGGUGAAGAAAUAUUAUGCUUAAGAUGAAAACCCGAAAAGGGCAUCUAAAAAAAGGGCGAAAACUCGAAAAGGGCGUCUUGAUUAGUACAAAAAGAUUAGGAUGAAAACCCGAGAGGGCGUCCUAAUGAAACAAACCUGGCGGUCGAACGAUAGGUCAAGUAGUGAGACUACAGUAUUUGAAGCAUUUCUGAAAGCUCGAAAUCUUCUACGCAAGAAGCCGCGCUCAAAAAGAUUUUUGAUUGUGGAACGAGGAAGAGUUCAUGUGUUGAAUAUCUAGAGCAUUUGUAUCCGUUGAAUACGAUCCUUUCUUUCUUUUUGACAUUUUUUACUCUCAUUGUUUAACUUGCUUUGUUUGCCACAUUUGAAAUAGAUGAAUAUGAAAUAUCAUUUUUGUCCCUAUCUGACCUUUUUCAUGCAUCUCAUUAUGUGUUUAUUUACAUGAUAAAUGGUGAAAUGACAUACUCUAAACAAAAGAAAUGUUAAGCAUUACCUGGAUGAAAAUUUGAUAAGCACAAGAGUCUCAAAGUAAGAACAAAGUUCAAUCGGGGGCAGAAGAGUGAUAUCUGAGAAACGUCGAUUACUCGUGAAGCUUGAAGACAGGUAUAAGGACUAAAGAGAAAGUCGAGAAUCAAAGCAAUGAACACAGAUCCUCAACAAUCGUGGCUAAAUAGACAUACGACAAACAUGCUUAAGGAGCACUGCAUAAUCGUGUAGGCAUAAAAGCAUUUAAGACAAACAUGUGCAUAUCAUGAUAACAUCAUACAUGGCAUAUACAGGUACUCCAGUAGAGCAAGAAAUCUUGAAUAAGAGUCGCACUGAAUCAAAGGAAAAGACAUCUGAGUUCCACCAGUUGACAUCUUUUGGUAUUUUGAUGUUUUUAUUUCUGUUUCAAAAAAAAUCAACUCAUACUGCGAGAGGUGAGUUGAGCCUCAGGACACGCUGAGGUAAUUUCAAUUUCUGUUGUCAAAAAAAUCAACUCAUAUUGCGAGAGGUGAGUUGAGCCUCGGGAGACGCUGAGGUAAUUUCAAUUUCUGUUUUCAAAAAUCAACUCAUAUUGCGAGAGGUGAGUUGAGCCUCGGGACACGCUGAGGUAAUUUCAAUUUCUGUUUUCAAAAUUCAACUCCUAUUACGAGAAAUGAGUUGAGCCUCAAGACAUGUUGAGGUAUUUUUAAUUUUUGUCUUUCAAAAAAAUCAACUCAUACUGCGAGAGGUGAUUUGAGCCUCAGGACACGCUGAGGUAAUUUCAAUUUCUGUUGUUAAAAAAAUCAACUCAUAUUGCGAGAAAUGAGUUGAGCCUCAGGACACGCUGAGGUAAUUUCAAUUUCUGUUUUCAAAAUUCAACUCAUAUUGCGAGAAAUGAGUUGAGCCUCAAGACAUGCUGAGGUAUUUUCAAUUUUUUUUUUUUCAAAAAAAUCAACUCAUAUUGCGAGAGGUGAGUUGAGCCUCGGGACACGCUGAGGUAAUUUCAAUUUCUGUUUUCAAAAAUCAACUCAUAUUGCGAGAGGUGAGUUGAGCUUCAAAUCACACAUGUGGUAUUUUUUCAAUUUAUAUUGCGAAAGGUGAGUUAAGCCUCGAGUCACAUGUCGAGGUAUUUUCAAAAUCUGCUUUUCAAGAUAAGUUUCAAAAAUCAACUCAUAUUGCGAGAGGUGAGUUGAGCCUUGGCUCACACGCUGAGCUAUUUUCAAUUUCUGUUUUUAAUGUCUGUUUUUAGAGAGUCAAUUCAUAUUGUGAAAAAUGAGUUGAGCUCAGGAUCACAUACCGAGUAAAGAAUAAAGACUGGAAUUAAUCGAAGACACAGAUUUUAUAUCCCUGAAGUUACAGUGAAGCUAAUUGAAGUUACAGUGGAGCUGAUCGAGGAUAUUAGAUCUUGCCUUUCUAAAGUGGCAGAAGAGAAGACCAAAACCUUAUUCGUUGAAGCGAUAGAAGAGCUUAUUGAAGUUGUAGAUCUUAUCUUUCUGAAGUUACAGUGAAGCGGAUCGAAGCCACAAAUCUCAUAUCCUUGAAGUUACAUUGGAACAGAUUGAAGCUACAAGGCAUAUCUCCGAAUUUGCAGUGGAUUGAACCAAAGCUACAAGAUGCGGUGGACUGAAAAGGGACUAACUAAACAAGAAGAGUUCCAAAGUAAGUCAAGACCUAGCAAGACCGGGCAAGUUUGGUCUUCCUUGAAAGUCUUUGCUCUAUUAUCGUUGCACGACAAUGAGCAAAGAGGGGCAGCUGUAGAAGCCCAAAUUGCCCGGGCCCGAUUAUAUCAAAACCCGACCAAACCUCUAAACUCACUAAAACCCUUAACCCAUGACCCAUUUACAUCUAUCCAAACCCAUUACAAAACCCAAAUAUUAAACCCAAUUCAAAAGCCCAUUAAGCCCUCCAAAAAAAAACCUAACCCCCCCAAAAAAAGAAAAAACCUAACCCCCCCCCAAAAAAAAGAAAAACCUAACCCCAAAAAAAAAACCAAGAAACUUUAGCCACCUAGCCACUUUCCCACUUGCCCCAUUUUUCCUCCAAUUUUUGAUAUCCAUUGUCUACCACCACCACCUACAAAAUAGAAAAAGAAAUAAUAGAAAAUCAUGUAAAAGAUGGCUAUAAAAAGCCAUUCAAAAAUCAUGUAAGAAGGGGGAAUUUUGAUCAAUACAAAGAAUUUAUCUUCAAAAAAUACCUAAAGGUGAUUUUAUCUUCUUUAUUUUACUCUUUUUUUAUUUUUAUUUUUUAUUUUUUUCCUUUUUUUGAAUCUAUUAAUCUAUAUAUAUACAUCAUAAUAAAAUAUAUAAUAAAAAUAUAUAUACAAAACAAAUAUUAAAAAAAUUACCUUUUCUGGCCACCACGUGCGGUGGCCGGCGCUGGUGACGGACGGCGGCCGACGGUCGGUCGGUGACCGGCCCCUGGCCGGAUUUACCUUCCCCCCUCCCUUCUCUCUUCCCUCUCUCUUCUUUUUCAUUUAUUUUUCGUAUUUACCUUGGAUUUCAUAUUAUUUUGCUAUUUAAUUUAGCUUUAAAUAUUAAUCAUGUUAUAUAUGUAAUAUUGUUAUCACUAUUAUUUUUAUAUAUUGUUAUUAUUAUAUUAUAUUUAGCUAUAUAUAUAUUUUCUUUAUGUUCCGUUUCUUACUAUUUUAUGCAUAUAUAUCUAUUAUUAUAUUUAUUAUUAAUAUUGUUAGCACUAGUACUUUUACUUCAUGUGUAUGUAGAUAUACAUGUACAUAUUAAUAGUUUUUUUAUCAUAUGUAUAUAUUGUAUAUAUUAUAUUUAUAUUAUAUAUAUUCUUAAUGUUAUUAGUUGUAUACUUCUUGUAUAUUUCUAUGUAUAUACUUUAUAUUGUCUCAUGUACAUACUCCGAAAUACUAUUAUACAUAUACAUAUUUUUAAUACCAUAUUGAGUAUAUAUUAUUGUAUUUAUUUUUAUUCCGAUUAUACUUAUUAUUAAUGUUAGUACAUAUAUUUCACCAUAAGUGUAUAUAUACCUUUUUGUGUAUAUAAUAUUAUUUUCGUAUAUUUAAUUAUUAUUCUAAAAAAGGGUUAUAAUAUGUACAUAUUUAUGAAGUAUUAUUAAUAGUAUUGUUUUUAAACAUCAUUGUUAUUUCUAAUAUAUAUAUUAUGUACAUUUUUUAUUUCUAUUUUGUUUUUUUAUUUGUCAAUAUUAAUUAUUAUUAUUCUAAUAUUUUGAUAUUUUAAUAUUUUAUAUUAUUCACAUCACUAUUCGCAUUUUUUACAAUAAUAUUCUUACAUUUUUUACUAUCAUUUUAGAAACUUUUUACAUUUUAAUUUUAAGAAUAAGGCAAUGUACCGAUUUUAACAUUAAGUCAUCGAUUUCAUCGUUAUGUUGGGUGAAAUUCGUCGGCUUGUGUUAAAAAACGGGACACCCUUUCUAAAAAAAUCGAAAACUAAAAAUUCUCAUUUUUCAAUCGGAUCACGAUUAAAUAUUAUAUUGAACUCGUAUUUUUGAAAAUCAAGUCAACACAUGUUUAUGAGAUACCAAUUUUGGACGUCGCGAGGGUGCUAAUACCUUCCUCGCGCGUAACUGACUCCCGAACCCCAAUUUUUUUCUGGACUUUCACGUAGACCUAAAUUCGGCCUUCUUUUUGUUUUAAAAUAAUUUUAUUAGGUAUCCGAUCACACCUAUAAAAAAGGAUCGGUGGCGACUCCCUUUGUUAAUAAAAUCGAAAGUUGGUUUUCAAAUGUUUAAUAAAUCGCCACAAUUAGCGACCAAGCGAAACUAAAUUUUUUUACGUCGCUACAAUUCUAUAUUUAGAAAAUUCGAGAAAUCGUUCCCUAACUUACUGGGCUUCGAUUUUUCUCGUGAUCCUAAAUAACUGAAUAUCCUUUUAAAAUUGAAAUAAAUGAGGUUUAAAUAAAAAAAUAAAAGGCAAGCUUAAUUCAAAAUACGAGAUGUCGGGUCCUAACUUACUGGAUGUGACAUCUUGUUACUUCGAGAUAAGGAAGCAUUUUCCAUAUUUAUUUAUUCGAGUAAUUUUAAAAUAACACAAUAAAGAGGGAUCGUAUUUUUAAAUUCUUUUCGAGUUUUUAAUCUUCGACACUGAGACAUUAAUUAAUCAACUAGGUACCAAUUUUAGGCGUAUCGAGGGUGCUAAUCCUUUCUCGCGCGUAAUCGACUCUCGAACCCGUUUUUCUGAAUUUCGUAGAUCGAAAUUAUUGUUUUAAUAAAUCAAAUAAUUUCUUAAAAUAAUAACUUUUCGAGGUGAUCCGAUCACACCUCAUCAAAAAGGAUUGGUGGCGACUCCCGUUUUCGUUUUCGUUUUCAACAACCAAGUCGACCCCGUUUUAUAUCAAAAAAAUGGUGUCAACAAAUUAAAUUUCUAACCUUAUGUAAUUUUCAACUUAAAUGUUAUCAGUCCAAUCAGCAAAAAAUUAAUGACGUCAAGGAGAAAUUAUUUUAUGAACCAUUGUCACCACAUCAUCCAUGGUCCCUUUCCAAUUAUAUAAUGACAUUUCAACAAUUUUUUUACAUCUCAUUGACACAUAAUUUUGGUAAUUUUUUUACCUUAAACCUCAAAUCUCGAACCCUGAAACUUGAACCCCAAAGCCCGAACUCAAACCCUAAACUCCAAGCCAAACUUGAACCUUAAACCAUGAACCUUAAAUCCAAAUAUUAAAUCUCAAACCUUAAACAUCAAACUCGAACCUUGAACCCCAAACUCGAACCUUAAACUUUGAACAUGGGUUCAGGGUUUAGGAUUUGAGGCUCAAAGUUUAGGGUUCUAGAUUUAAGGUUAGGAUUCAAGGUUCAUGGUUUAGCGUUUAGGGUAAAAAAAUUGCCAAAAUUAUGUGUAAAUAAUAUAGAAAAAACUAAAAUAUCAUUAAAUAAUUAAAAAAUGACCAUAAAUAAUGUGAGUGAAAAAAUCUAUAAAAUAAAUUUUAAACUUCAAAAUUUUGAGUGAAAAACAUAAAUUGGAAGGUUAAAAAAAAGUGUUAAUGUUGAAUUAAUAACUUGGUUGGGUAAUAUCUUUUUAUUAAAGACUGAAUUGAUUAGAAUUUUUUCUUUCCAUCCAAGCCUUUAUUUAGAUCCAUCAUAACUAGUCUAAUUUUGAGUCAUUAAAUUAGAUGCUUUUCCCACACGGCUAAAGCCCCACUCUUGCAUUUAUAACAUAUGGAAAACUUUUACUACACUCACGAAAUCGAUACCACCAUAUUCAAUUCCUCACGAACUUCAUAAUUUUCUACCUACAAAAAGCUUAGAACUCAUAGAGGCUGCCUAUCAUAUAUGCACUGUUAAGGUAAAUAAUGACACAAUAAUUUAUAUCAACCGAAGAAGCAAUAAUGUGAGAGAGAGAGAAUCACCUCCCAACUCAAAACAUUUUGUUGAGGUGUUUAUCCCCAACACCUCAACAUUGUUCCUAUGAUAGAUUAAAUUGUUUGCAUAUCAUCUAACUCCAGCAGCUAUGGAAGUAUACAAAUCAAUUUUUCUAUAGUAGGAGUUAGAUUACAUUUGGUCUUUUUUAUUGAAAGAUGAACAAAUUAUUUUUUGUACUUUAGAUCAAAAAGCAAAUUGAUCCUUUUUAUUAAAAAUUUUAACAAUUUCUAUUAUUAAAAACUGACAUGGCUGGUAAAAUAAUCAGAAAAUUGCACGUGGCAUAUAAGGAUCAGUUUUUAACAGUAGAAAUGGAUGAAUUUUUUAACAGGAUGACCAAUUUACUCUUUAAUGUAACGUAUAGGGAUUAAUUUACCUUUUUUAAUAUAAAAAAUAAAUGUAAUCUAACCCUUAAUACAAAAAUCUCCGUAAUCCUUUCACCGCUUUUCCUUUAAAAAAAUAUGUAAAAUUUACUUCAUUAAUUCUUUAGGCUAGUGUACAUCGGGCCAUCUAUAAACUUAUAAAUUAAGACUCUAAAACUCAUUUUACUAUUUAAAAUAUAUUAAAAUUAUUAUUGUAUGAUUCAAUUUUAAUAAAUAUUUUUAUUUAUUAAAUAAUACCUCAAAUCAAGAUAAUAAAAAUAUUUUUAUAAUUAAAUUUAAAUAAUUUUAUUUAUUUGAGUUUCAAACAAAAUUUUAUAAUAUAUUACCGGAUUAAUAUAACAUUUGUUGCUUGAACUUGACAUGUUUUCCUAUUUUGAUACCUAAAUUUUUUUGGCCCAAUUUGUUACUUGAACUUGAAUUUUUUUUCCUAAUUUAGUACUUAAACUAGCAGUGUUAAAUAAGUCAUGUUAUGCUACAAAAAUAUAUUAGUAUUAGAGGAAAUUCAUGUUAAAAAAAAUUAUGCAUUGAGUUUAAAAACCCAAAAUAAAAAAAAUCAUUAUUUUAAAUUAAUAAAAUAAAAUUAAUUAAUUAAACUAAAAGUAAUUGAACAUUUAAAAUAAAUAAAAAUACUAUGUCAUCUAUCACAUGCCGAUCAUACAUUGAUUAUUUUCUAUACCUCAUAAAAGAUAAUAUUGUUAACAUAUUGAAGUAAUUUUUAUAAUGUUUGACAACCAAAUCUCGCAAAAAAAAUAAUACCAAAUUAGAAAAAGAGUCAAGUUCAGGUACCAAAUUGGAAUAAAAAAAUAUAAAGUAUCAAAUUAAGAAAUUGUGUUAAGUUCAUGUACCAAAUUAAGAAAACAUGUCAAGUCUAAGUAUCAAAUUGAACAAAAAAAUUCAAAUACAAAAUUAAGAAAAAAAUAUUAAGUUCAAGUACCAAAUAUUAUUUAAAUCUAUAUUAUACUAGAUCUGACAAUAAUACUCAAGACUUUUCUCCAUCCCUAUAACAUACCUAAAAUAUAUACUUAUGUUUUUUCCUUUUGAUAAGAAAAUAUAUCAAGUUGAUGUACUAAAUUAAAAAAAACGUGUCAAAUUUAAAUAUUAAAUUAAGAAAAAAAUAUUAAAUUUAAGUAUGAAAUAUUAUUUAAGCAUAUAUUAUAUGAGAUCUAACAAAAAUACUCGAGCCUUUUCCCAUCCCUAUAACACACCUAACGAAAAUUCAUGUAUAAAUUUGAAAUAAAAACCUUAAUAAAUAGUAUUGGUACACUUAUUAACAAACACCUAUAAUAAAAAGAAAAGUCUUGCAAAAUACAAUAAAUGUUUAAGAGUAUUUGAGUUUGAUAAUUUUUUUAAUGUGGUAUCUGAUUUGAUAAAAGUUAUAUCUUUUAAUAUUUGAAGGUAACAGUGUCAACAUUUUAUCAUUCAAUUUAAAUUUUAAUGUUGAUUUGAUAAAAAUUCAUAAUUAAUUAAUAAUAUUAUCUAUUAACUUUUUCGAACCGACCCAAAGUUGAAAAAGAAAAUUACAACCAUGAGAUUGUGUGUAAUAAAUUGAAUAUAAAAUUAAACAAAUAUGCAACUACCGCUAAAUUUAUUUUACUAAUAAAAUCAUGAAAAUUUGAAUUAACCCUUAAAUACUAAUUAAAACCUUUUUUAUGUCACUAUCCGACCUAACCCACGAGAUUUACGAGCCUUUUAAGGUGUUGUCACGUUUAAAAACAUUUCUAAAUAUUUGAAUCCACAUCACAAUACACAUAUAAAUAUGCUCUUAUUAACUGUGAGAAAAUGCAUUUAUAUAUGUGUUGGGAGAUCAUUUACAAGACUCAACGAGAAUAUAUUUAAUUUGAUAAUUUUAUAAGAGGAUUCAUAGCGAGAUAAAGUCAGGGAAGCUGGUUAAUAUAUUAUUUAGAAUAAGUUUAUUAAUGAUUUAGAAUGUGUUGGUGGAAGUGAUUAAUAUAUAUAAUCUCAGGGCAUUGACUAGGAAAAUUCAUAAAAGAAAACAAAAUCAUCUCACCUUUCUAAUGUUUGGGAAUUUAUACUUAUGUGGUAGAUUUAUAUUUCACUAUUUAUUCAUCAUUUGAAUGCCCACCUUCCCACUUUUACUAGGAAACCAACCCCCAUAAUUCCCUCCCACUUUCACUUUCUCAUCUUAAAUUCAAAAUCUACCGCUUUACAACUUUUUUUCCCACCUUCCAAGCACUUCCUGCUACUGUCAAAUUUAUUUUCAAAUCACCCACCAAAAAGAAUCUGCCAUCAAAGUCUAUUUUAUGUUAACCAUUAACCCUACUUUUUAUUUGAAAAGAUUAAAUGGUUAAGGGAUUAUUUGAUGAUCAAAAUAGAUGCUGUUAAUAGGUAGAAAAUCUGAAUGAACAAUAUACAUUCUUUUUUCUACUCAAGGAGUAGGGUUUAGCUUUUAGAAUAAGGAAAAGAGGGUUUCAAGAAUUACACAUUGUUGUUGUUGUUGGAAAUGAAAGGCAUUUAGCUAAAUCAUAAAUCAUAAUGAUUUAUUAGGCUCCUCUUACUAGCUAUUACUUGGAUGGUUAUACAUACCUUCCACUAGUAGUCUUCUCGACCCACACACACAUCAAAAGCUCCUCUUUCGAACAUUUCUUGUUGAGUAUUAAAAUUUUAGCUUUCUUCUUCACCCAAAUAGAAGAGUGUUAGGAUCGACCCGAUUAAGUAACAAGUACAAAAAAAUAAUAGAAUAAAUUGAGAAAUUAAACACACAAAUUUAACAUGAAAAAACUCCUCCAAAGAGGAUAAAAAAUCACGGGCAAAGAUAAUUUUACUAUAAUGGCAAAAGAACGAAGAGUACAAAAGAUGGAGAUAAAAACUAAAUCCCGAAAACAAAGAACCCUCAAAACGUAAACACAAAAUUCUCUAAAUGUGUUAUGAGUUCUAAUCUCUAAUGGGUGUCUUUUUUAAGGUUGUAAAAGAACCUAUUUAUAGGCUAAAUUAGUAAGUCAAAUAAACUAUGCUAAUAAAUGAUAAAUAUAUUAUACUAAUAAAUACUAAAUCUUCUAGAAAGAAAAUAUAUUUUGUUUAACUUGACUUGCAAACAAUCUCUUAGAAUUUGGGUCACACAACUCUAACAAAGAACUUGUUGAAUUCUAAAGAUACAUUGUAAAUAGGUAAUUAUUCAAUCAGAUAACUAAGAAGUUGUGAAAGCCAUUCAAAGAAGCUUUGCUAUUCCUUCAAAUUAUGCUAUGAUAAGAAGAUAUAUCACAUUUUAUCCCAAGAAGAUUAAUGGAUUCUACGUUACAUUCCCAGAGAGCAAAAUCAGGUCACAUAUUGCUUAGCAAAGUUGGCUUUAGUCAAUAAAGAGGAGUUGCGAAUUUUUUACUCUCCCCCAAUGGAGAGUUCAGAAUUUUUUUUAUUCGGACAGGUUAAGGGGAUUGAUCCAUUCUCAGAAUACUCUCGUCUAAUUUAAGCUAGCCUUUUUUUUUAACAUUGUAAACAAAUUAUCUAUGGUGUAUACAUCUAUAAUUGAUUUUAAAAUUUUUACUUUCAAUUUGUGGUACAACAUUCAAUAUCUAAAAAAGUUUUAGUGAAAUCACAAUAUGAACAUAGAUUAAAAGGAUCGAACUACAUUAACUAAUGUUUAUUGUCACUUUAAUUAAAAUUUUGUCGAUCUCAAAUUCACUCACAAAUUCAUACUCAACACAAUAUAUGUGUUAUACUAUUGAUGGAAAUUUUUAAAAAAAACAUAAAGCUAAAAAAUAUUUCCUAAAAAAGUAAAAAGAGGAAAAAGAACUUAAAAAGCAUAUAUGAUUAUUUGUGUAUUCAAUAUUAUUUUUAAAUUAAAUUGUCACUUUAUGUGAAUCUCUCCGACAAAUAGUCAUGAAGAGAAAGAUGGGAGAGGCUCAGGCUGAAUUAAAAGUGGACAAUUUUCAUUACGGUGUCAACCACUGUUAAACCCCACAUUGUUUAGACUCCACAAGGUUACCAAAGUAAAACAAAAUAUGAGGUUGUGUUUUAUAAUAAAAAUAAAAAUGAGUUAUAAUAAAACAAAUUGUAAAAGAUGAUGUAUUUAGAACAUAUCUUAGUGCUAACUAUGAUUUGAUUAAUUAAUCUUAAUAAUGUACUGCCAUCUUACUUGUUCUUCUACUUUUCCUGCCAAUUUGUUAACUAGAUUAGAAUCAAUGAGCACAAAUCAUUGUUAUUCAAGAAAUGCUUUUAAAAUUUUGGGUAAAUAUCAACUUUGAUUUAUUGUAAUUAUACACAUGAAAUUUGAAUUUAUAUGUUUAUAUGAAACAUCGAUUUUAAUUCACUUAUAUACAUUUAAAGAAAGGUCAUAUUGGAUUAAUAUAAUUAUUUGUGAAUGCAAUAUAUCAAUGUAAGUCUGUGUUAAUUUAAUAAUGUUGUUCAUGAUUUGUGAAAAUUAAAUCAAAAUCAUGUAUAGUUUUUAAACUUAACGACCGGAAUGACAAUCCAUGUUUUUUUUUUUGAAUUUUUGUGGGAUUUUUUCAUUUAUUUUUAAUUUUUAAUUAUUUUUAAAAUUUUUAAAAUAUUAUUAAAGUGACAUAAAAUAAAUAAUGUCAUAUCAAUAUGAAAUACGUAUGACUGUGACAUAAGUUGCACAGCUAACAUUACUAAAAAAUUAAUUUUUUUACUUAAUAUAUAAUAUAUUAAUGUAAAAUACUAGUAAUUAGAUAAUAUUAUUAAUAAUUUAUGAAAAUGAAACUUUAUAUAAAUCAACAUAAAAUCAAUACCCCAGUUAAUUGGUUUUGUUAAAAUGGAAAAGUGAAAAUAAACAAAUAAACAACUAUAAAUAACCAACAAUUCAAUACUACAUAGAAAUAAAAUAAAGAAAACAGAGUUUCAGUGAGAGAGCUAAAGAAAAGGAAAAUCACACACAACACUUUGUCUGCUAUUAAGACACAAACAAGAUAGAAGAGAGAGAAACUGUAAAGAAAGAAAACCCAAGAAGAAGAAGAAGAGGGUUUCAAGAUCUGGUCAGAUCAAGUCAAGCUACAUAAACAUGUAAGAUACAUACAUACAUAUAUAUAUUGUUUGUAUCAAAGUUUCUUUGUCUUUUUGUUUUUGUUUUGGGUUUUUGGUUUUAAAAUGAGCAAUGUGGUUCAUAUGUUUAACUGGUUUUUCUUGUUGCUGUCUUUUGUGAGGUUUUAUGUGAGUGUUUUGCUAAAGAAAUGAAGAGUUUUUGGUGAAUUUCUGCUUUUCUAUUUAUCCAUCUGGGAUACUUAUAUUCUGGGUUUUCUCAGUUUUGUCUUAAUGUGUUGGAUUUGUUGGAAAUCUUUUUUUUUUUACUCUCUUAAGUUAAAUCUAAAGUUUUUUUUUCUUUAUUGUGUUAAUUUUGCUAAUAAAUGAGAAGCCUUUCUAAAGCUUUUUUUUUUUCUAAUACAAGUUUAUAAAUAUUUGGGUCAUGCAAGAUUCUUCUUUAAAUUUUUGGGUUAUUUGAUUUAUUGUUUCUAAAUUAAAUGAACGUUUUUUUUUCUUUUUUAGUCCUCUGCUUGUCCAAUCAUUUAUUGUGUUCUAUUUACUUAAUACUAUUUUUUAUUUAUAAGCUAACUAAACAUCUUCAUUUUCUGAUUUCUUUCAAAAGGAGAGUUUUUGUUUCUUUUUCUUAGAUAUGUUUCUUUUUUUUUACUUGUUACAAUUAGAUUCUUAAAUUGCUUAACAUUUAUAUUUGAAGGUACCAUUUCAUUGGAAAUUCCAUAAAUCCUUUUCUAGAUUCUUCUUUGGGGUCAUACCCUAGUCACCUUUUUGUCUUCCAAGGUUGAAAUAAAGUGAAAGCAUUGCUUGGAAAUAGAUUUUAAUCACUUGAUGUGCACGGUGUACUCCACCUAUUAAGAGGAGACUUAGUUGGAUAACACUGAAUGUAAUGCAAUUCUUAUUUAAUCUUAGCUAGGAUUGCAUGUUUUUGCUUAGAUUUGGAAUUCAGAGUGCAGAUCAUUCACGGAUCUGCUUGAAAAAAUCAGUUUUAUUUGAAAAAAGCCAUGAAUUAUAUAUGAAACUUGUUUCAGAUCUUUUAUUAUCGUAUAGUACUUGUCAUUCUCAGUGUACUUGUUAAGCCUAAUAUGUUCAGCAAUGGUUUCUUUGUUUAAGAUCUUAUGCAUAUAUCGACAUAGAUUUUUUCUCUUUAUGCAGCGGAAUGGGGAGGGAACUCACGGAUGUGGACAUGGACGGUAAGCCAAAUGGUGUGGUGAAUUCAAAUGGCAACCUAACAGUUUCAGAAGGCUCCGAGUCUAAUAAUUAUGAGGUCAAGGAAUGCACUGCAAAAAACUCGGUCGUGGACAAUGGUCAUGAGAAGCAAGAAGCGCUGGGUGUUAAAAGCAUAAAUUUUGGUACUGACAUCCCUGAAGAUCAGAAGUGCAUGGACAAUGACGAGCUUAGCGCGACUGCAUCGAAACCCAUUGGUGCUGGACAAGCUCACCAUGCUACCUCUAAAACUGGUGCAAAUGGCACCGCAAAUGUCAACUCUGCACUCUCCCCUGCUACCACAAAGGGAUCAGAGGUAACUCCAACUCUAAAUUAGAAAAUUGUUUGGUUUUAAUAUCAGUGAUGUUGCUUAUUUGCUCAUACAUGCAAGGUGCUAAUCUUUUAGAUUUUACCAUUAUUUUCAGCCAAACUCUCCAAUAACUCCUUUGAUCUUGAGGAAGCCAUUGCAACCUUAUGACCGGAAGCAUCCUGAUGAUGAAGAUAACUGGUCCCUCACUUCCUCAUAUCCUUCUCUUUGGUGUUAAGAAGUUAAUAUGUAAUGCUAUGAGCUUGUCGGUUUUUUUUCUCUUCUUUUAAUUAUAUUGUGGAACUUCCCUACCCGAACUCUAUACCAUAUUUCUUCCUUAGCGGUAUCUUGUACAGCUGCGUCUGUUCGAACUGCUAGAUCGAGGGUAACUAUUGGAAGUGCUCCUACUUUUAGAAGUGCUGAACGUGCUGAGAAGCGGAGGGAGGUACAUUCUUAGUCCAAACAGUUUUGAUGCUUUUUUCAGUCAUUGAUGUUUUCUUCAUUUCAUUUUCAAACUAUCCAAAUUAUAAUGUUGUUUUUUUCAAUCCAGUUUUACCAAAAGUUGGAGGAAAAACACCGAGCUUUGAAGGCGGAGAGAAGCCAGUUUGAGGCCCGGACCAAGGUCCAUGGCACUUAAAAUUUCUCAUCCUUAUAUUUAUGCUAGACUUGGUUAGUUUUAACAAAAUCAGGCCUCCUUGCUUUUUUGCAGGAAGAGCAAGAAGCAGCACUUAAGCAGCUUAGAAAGAACAUGGUUGUCAAAGCAAAUCCAGUACCAGAUUUCUACUAUGAAGGACCUCCACGAAAGGUUGAACUGAAGAAGGUAUUCUUUCUAAUCUUUUCUCGUUUGUUUCGAGUCCUCGAAGUCGUUAUCCGGGAAAAUAUUUACCUAUUUUAUCUCCUUCAUAGUACAGAUCAAAUAUACCCUUUUGGCUAUAUAUGUUUCAUGCAGCUUUGGUGGAUAAUUGAACAUUUCAUUCUUGCUUUUAUUUCAUUUCAGCUGCCAUUGACUCGGCCAAAGUCACCAAAUUUUACCCGGAGAAAGAGCUGCGGUGAUGCAGUCCGCUCAUCUCAAGACGAAAAGGCAAAAGCUUGCUGUCAGACUCACCGCCGCAGCCUAGGUAACCAUACCGAACGAUCCACUACUGCAAAUGAGUUCAAAAGUAAAGGUCGGGUCAGUGGACAGACCAGUAAUGGAGCUGGCAAGGCAAAAGAGCGAGCAAAACAGGUAAAAGAGGCAACGAAAGCUGCACCUACUAAAAUCAUUGAGCCGAGUAACGCUAACAUCACUGUUCAAUCAUGAUCAUCUAGUUUUUUUUUUUUUUUACUAACUAUUAAGCUGGGAAAUAGUCUUGAAUUCCCGCACUGCCAUGCCAUAUGGAUGUCCUGAAACUGAGUAUAACUAGGUGGUUUCAUUUUUAGUAGGGACUUGUUUGUUAAGUGGUUUGCAUUAAUGUGAAAUGUAUAUGUUUUGUAAGUUUACAUUGUUACGUAUCUUUAUAUGUAGUAUGAGUUGUUGAUGCUAAUGCAUCCAAUAACUUGUUUUCAUCUGAUAUUCUCUUCUUUAUAUCAUGAAACAUAAUUCGAAUCAUGGCAUGAAUUUUGAUUAAGAUUAAAAAGAAGGGGACGAUUAUGAUAAGAAAAUAAUCUAAUACUAAACAAUGCCCGCCGUGGAGCAGCUUGGUCCCUUCAAAUAAUUACACACAAAAUGAUAGCUGAAAAUAUACAGAAAGAUAUAAGAUAAAUCCCUCAAAAAUCUCUUUUAGGCCCCUAGAAGUUGGCAGUGGUGUCAACAACCAAAAUAAGCGACCAAAUGGACUAUGAUGCAGUGGUUUGGUUUGGUAAGUAAAUCAACCACUUGAUCUGUUGAAUAGACCUUGUUUUGCACCUAAAAAUAUCAACCAAAUGGAGCAAUAUGUUUCAUCCUACUAUGGAACACCGGAUUCUCACACAGGUAUGUAGUGCCAACAUUAUCAGAAAGAAUCCAAGAACAAAAACAAAGCGGAAAGUGAUGUUCUCUUAGUAGAUAAGUGACCAAUUGGUUUCAGCAAGGGAAUAGCAACCGUUCUAUAUUUCGUUUCAGUAGAGGAGUGAGAGACAGCGCUGUUUCUUGGAAAACCAUGAGAUGGGCGUGUUGCUAAGCUAAACAUUGUAGCUAAUAGUGGAGGCAUAGUCAAGAGGAUCACCGCCCCAACCUGAGUUAGAAUAAACAAGAAGUCGUGGAUCAUCUUCUGAUGUGAUAUGAAGGCCAUGGGUGGAAAUUCCAUUGAAAUAGCGCAACAAAAGUUUGAUAGCUUUCCAAUGACUGCCACGCAGGCUGUGCAUAAAUUGAGAGAGCUUGUUAAUUGUAAAGGCGAUGUCAAGAAGAGUAAAUGAUGGACACUACAAUUAUCCAAUAACUUGCCAGUAGUAAAAGGCAUCAAUUAUAGGACUAGUAGGUUAGAGUCUGAGAAGUGCAGCGGAGGAUAUGAAUGGGAACACAUUCACUAUCUUGCAUAUUGACAGUAUGAAGAAGACCUUCAAUACAUUUUUGUUGGGACAGUAGAAGGCCACCUGAAUAAGGGAAAACCUCAACACCUAGAAAAUCAUGGAGGGAACCGAAUUCCUUCAAAGAAAACCGAUUAGUUAUUCUUGAAUGAUAUGACCAACAUAAGGUUCAAAAUUGCUAUUGGCAAUAAUAUCAUCUACAUAUAUUAGAAACACACAAAUUUGCCAAAACUACCUAGAAUGAACAACGACGCAUCAGAGUAAGAGUGUCUAAAACCUUUAGUAACCAAUUAGUUUUAUAGCUUGAUUUACCAAACACAGAGUGCUUGUUUGAUACCGUAAAUGGCUUUUUGGAGUUUGCAUACAUGUGUGGGCAGGGAAUGAUGCUCAAAACUUGGCAUGUAACCAUUAUACACCCGGUUCGAAAGACGAUCGAAUGUAAAGUGUCGCAUUAAUUACUGAAACAAUGUAAAUAAACGAUCGUACCAACAUUUCUCACAAUAUUUUAAGGUAAAAAUAUGCUAAUCAUUGUAGACGAAAAACAAAUUCAGAUGUGCUCACAUGCGAUGUUCCGAGGUCAAAUAGUAAAAAACGUGACCAAGUUAUGAAUCUUGGGUUAAACUAACAAAAUGCAAUGCUAUGUCUCGAGAUACGUAUCUUCUAUUUUCAAAUUUCAGCUUUCAAAUUCUAUGUCUCAAGACAUCACAACCUAUGUUUUUAAUUUUAGCUACGAAAUUUUAAGUUUCUAGAUAAUAGAACCAUGUCUCGAGACAAUACACCUCAUGUCUUGUGACAACUAUGAAAUGUCUUAAGACAUACACCUGAGAAUGCUUUUAGAUAUCAAACGGUCCCUAAACAAAAUGGACAUGCUACCAAAAGUAAAAGAACAAGUUUGACAUGAACCUUCACAAUAAGCACACUAAAUCAAAUUUUGAUCAUGAAAGUAAAUCAUAAGCAUGAAAAUCAAGGUACAAAUUCAUAAUAAAAAUCUAAUAAACACCAAAAUAUCAAAGUAAAAGUGUCAUCAUACCAAUAUGUCUCAGAACUAAUAUAAGUAAUGAACCAAAAAUAUUAUGGUAAUCUAAUAAUGUACGCUAUAAGGAAUUUCUAGUGUGUAUAUAAUAUGACCUAUCUAAUCUUUUUUCUAAAAAUGUACAAAGAACUACAAAACGAAUCGAGUUAACCCGUAAUGUACGCUAUGGCAUGCUACAAAACCAAAGGAUCGUGGUGUUGAUAUCCAGCAAAGGUGGAACGCGUCUAAAAGUGGAUCUGAGAUUGAGAUUUGCAGACUGGCUUUUUGAUCAGGAUGGUCACAGAUUUUGAUUUCUUCUUCAACGAUAUUAAUUGUUAUCAAUAACUCUCACAAUAAAUCCAAUUGUUGCUACUUCGUCUACAACAUGACCACCACUUCAAUCUUUUUUAUAUACACAUGUCAGUCUAAGCAACAUAAUAUUUAGAUUUCUGUCAAAACGCUUUCGUUGGAAACAGAUAAAUAAUAUGUGAUACUAUCAAAACGAUUAAUCUAUAUUUAGAUUUAUUCCGUCAUUUAUUUUGAUUUACUCAAUCAAAGGGUAACAUUCUAAAUCUUACAUUUAUAAAAAUAUUAAACUUUUAUUAAAUAAAACAUAUAAAUAAAUAUCCAACCACGAUUGAAACCUGAAUACUGAGUUUUUCAUAAAACAGAGUAACAUAGGAUAAAUUAAUAAAACCGUAACCUGCUUUAUAUAAUCAAUACAUACUACAUAUAUCGAUCUAAAUUCCACGACUACCCCUAGCUCGCCAUCAAAUUUACACCAUCUGCAAAGGGAAGGAAAAAAAAAAAAAAAGAACAACCUCCUACAAACAAAUACUGCUUUCUCUUCACUUCUUUGCCUUCUUUGGCGCCGCUUUCUUAGCCGGAGAUUUAACACUCUUCGGCUUCUUGACAGCGACUGUCUUCUUUGCUGGAACCUUUACUUUCUUCCCUGGCGAACUCUUCUUCGCCGUCUUCGCUACCUUAGUUGGCUUAGCCGCUGGUUUAGCUUUGGCCUUAGUUGUAGUAGCCUUCGGUUUCGCCGCAACUUUAGCCUUUGCCUUCACAGGCGUUCCAACUUUGGCUUUGGCUUUCGGUUUCGACGCGGUUUUAGUCGCCUUCGGCUUGGACUUUGAGGCGGCAGUGGUAGCUGCAGAUUUAGGCUUCGCGGCGGCAGGCUUCUUAGCUACGGCGGCCGGUUUCUUAGCUGCGGCAGAAGCCGAAGGCAGCUUAAAAGAGGCUUUCACUUUGACAAGCUUUCCAGAAGCAACAAACUUCUUCGUCUGAACAAGUAGGACUUUGCGGAAAUUCGCCGGUAAUUGCUUAUACUUCUCUUCGAUGAAUUUCGCGAUCGCAUAUUGGCUCGAUCCUGUCCUCUCUUUCAACGA